GAGAUGAUGCCAUGGCAGCUAUAAAUAGGCCUGUAGCAUGAUGAUCAUCCUUCCUCAUCCAUCAUUCUCAUAAGUAGAGUGCAUCAUUCAAGCCAAGCAAGCAGUGGUCAAUACAAAUCCACCAUGAAGACCUUUCUCAUCCUUGCCCUCCUUGCUAUCGUGGCGACCACCACCACAACUGCAGUUAGAGUUCCAGUGCCACAAUUGCAGCCACAAAAUCCAUCUCAGCAACAACCACAAGAGCAAGUUCCAUUGGUGCAACAACAACAAUUUCUAGGGCAGCAACAACAACAAUUUCCAGGGCAACAACAACCAUUUCCACCACAAUAGCCAUAUCCGCAGCCGCAACCAUUUCUGCCACAACUACCAUAUCCGCAGCCGCAACCAUUUCCACCACAACAAUCAUAUCCACAACCACAACCACAAUAUCCGCAACCACAACAACCAAUUUCGCAGCAACAAGCACUACAACAACAACAACAACAACAACAACAACAACAAAAACAAAUCCUUCAACAAAUUCUGCAACAACAACUGAUUCCAUGCAGGGAUGUCGUCUUGCAACAACCCAAUAUAGCACAUGCAAGCUCACAAGUAUCGCAACAAAGUUACCAACUGUUGCAACAAUUAUGUUGUCAGCAACUGUGGCAGACCCCCGAGCAGUCACGGUGCCAAGCCAUCCACAAUGUCAUUCAUGCUAUUAUUUUGCAUCANNNNNNNNNNNNNNNNNNNNNNNNNNNNNNNNNNNNNNNNNNNNNNNNNNNNNNNNNNNNNNNNNNNNNNNNNNNNNNNNNNNNNNNNNNNNNNNNNNNNNNNNNNNNNNNNNNNNNNNNNNNNNNNNNNNNNNNNNNNNNNNNNNNNNNNNNNNNNNNNNNNNNNNNNNNNNNNNNNNNNNNNNNNNNNNNNNNNNNNNNNNNNNNNNNNNNNNNNNNNNNNNNNNNNNNNNNNNNNNNNNNNNNNNNNNNNNNNNNNNNNNNNNNNNNNNNNNNNNNNNNNNNNNNNNNNNNNNNNNNNNNNNNNNNNNNNNNNNNNNNNNNNNNNNNNNNNNNNNNNNNNNNNNNNNNNNNNNNNNNNNNNNNNNNNNNNNNNNNNNNNNNNNNNNNNNNNNNNNNNNNNNNNNNNNNNNNNNNNNNNNNNNNNNNNNNNNNNNNNNNNNNNNNNNNNNNNNNNNNNNNNNNNNNNNNNNNNNNNNNNNNNNNNNNNNNNNNNNNNNNNNNNNNNNNNNNNNNNNNNNNNNNNNNNNNNNNNNNNNNNNNNNNNNNNNNNNNNNNNNNNNNNNNNNNNNNNNNNNNNNNNNNNNNNNNNNNNNNNNNNNNNNNNNNNNNNNNNNNNNNNNNNNNNNNNNNNNNNNNNNNNNNNNNNNNNNNNNNNNNNNNNNNNNNNNNNNNNNNNNNNNNNNNNNNNNNNNNNNNNNNNNNNNNNNNNNNNNNNNNNNNNNNNNNNNNNNNNNNNNNNNNNNNNNNNNNNNNNNNNNNNNNNNNNNNNNNNNNNNNNNNNNNNNNNNNNNNNNNNNNNNNNNNNNNNNNNNNNNNNNNNNNNNNNNNNNNNNNNNNNNNNNNNNNNNNNNNNNNNNNNNNNNNNNNNNNNNCAUAUGAAGUAACAUUUCCUCACCAAGGCCACACAUAGGGCACACACAUAACCCCAUCACAUGCCUUUUUAGUUAUGCAUAUGAAGGUAGGAUGUUUUUAAUUACUCUGCACCAAAAUACUCUUAACUUGGAUUGUACCCUAAGCUUUCGUUGCCUUUUACAUUUUUCUUCCCCAUUAGAUGAACUAGAUAGUCCAGCUACCACACAAUACCUUGUGUUCAUCUCGGCUCUGUACAACAAUUGAACAGAAGAAAUGUCAUUUCUUUACCAUAUCCAUGACCAAAUGUUCUCUGCUACUCCCUCCGUCCCAAAAUACUGCCAUCCAUGUCGACAACAAUGAGUCAUAUAGGACCGCUAUGCCUCUGUUGAAGGAGGUGGUGGAGCGAUCCGGAGAUUAUUCUGCCAUCCAUGUUGAGUAAAACCUCACUGGCCACUUGCUCCAACCGCAUACACACCGCCAUAAACAACGGUUGGUACUCAGUUCGGUGUAGCAUACACCAUGUAGGAAGCGAGUGCUUACUCCUAGUUACUGAAUUAUGUACACCAAAUAAACCCAUUUACACGAAGUUAAUGACAAAAAAGUUGAUGCUUGCUACGCAGAUGUGUAGUACAAAUUAAGAAGUGCAAGAUAAAAAGAUGCUGGUCCUUGAUUCGUUGUUGAUCCUGAGCAUGCCAUCAUCAACUUGUAGUUAAUUAUCAUACAAAUUGGCUCUUUCAUAGAGUUGGAGGCUAGCUCCUUGGAUCAGCACGCGCUUAAACACAAAGAACACGUAUAUGUAUUCUCUCCGAAGUUCAACUCUUGAUUGGCCAGCAAAAAUGGUCCGACCGGGUAGAGGAAAGGCAUGUUUGCUAGUACGCCUGGAGGAAAUGCCUUUGAUUAGGGCAUCUCCAACGGCGACCAGUAAAUUUUCUCCCAUAUUCGUCCACGGACAAGGGAUCAGUCCGUGGAUAUGGAUAUAGGAAUCGGCCAUCCAACGUUGUCCGCAUAUAUUUCGAACACUUCUUUUAAAAAAUCGAAUGAAAUUCAUGCAAACACAGUGGAUUCCAUACAAACCGGACAAAAAUGUUUACAUUUUGGACAUAUUUUUAACUAAAAACUGUACAGCCGGCGCCGGCGACGACGAAUAUCCUCCGGCGACAUGGAUACCCUUGACUAGUCUACUGCCGGCUGCAGCGGAUCUCCAAUGUCAUCCCCAUGUCCGGCAGCUGUGAGCCCUAGGUAUAUGCUUCAACGCAAAGAGCAGCUCGCCUCCCUACCACUCAUCGGAGUGGAACAACCAACUGAUGCUUCUGCCAAUGGGAAAGGGUUCCUACGCUACAUAGGUCAGAGUUGGUUUUGGGUUGGGAACGGUGGUGGCCUGCCAGAGGGCAAGACACCGGCUGUGUAUGCUGGUGUCACCUCAAUAUGGCAUUCAUGGGACCCAAGCGACAGCUUCUCCUCGACUAUUGUGGCGAGCGCAGACGUGUUGGACACCACCUCGUCGAUGUCCAUGCAGCCCGCUUCUUUCUCUGUAGUCAGGACGCGGUGACACGCGCUUUGACAUCGGAUGACGCGCUCACAGGCACGGGAGGGGCGGUACAACAUGGCACCAUCAAUAGCAGCAAUGAUGCCCGUGCCACUGUGGUCCCUAUCAGUGUCGACCUGGAGCAACUCGCCACUCCUCGGCUCGUGACCGGCGGGGUUGACGGGCUACCAAGCCAUUGUUUAUGCGAGACAACUCUUUUUCCUGCUCAUCAGAUGCCAUGGAGAAAACUGAUCAAGGAGAAAAAUGGUGAGUGGAGGUGUGAUGCAGUUCUUGCUCGACAUCAGACAUCUAUCUAUUAUAUAAUUAAAACGAUAGAAAACGAACGGUUAAGAUUAAUCGUUCUAAAGUUAAGAAAAAACAACGGUGGAGAUUUACAGCAUAUAUGUUUUUUUUUGAAAAUUAAAGCAUAGAUGUUUGAACCACGCGCAUUACACGUACAUGUACAAGACCAAAACAGACGUACAUGUACCAGACCAAAACAGACGACCCGUCAAACAUAGUACGAUUGACUGAUCUCCGUAAAGAAUACGUCCAAUAAGGAAGGAGGCCUGAUUGAUUUCUAACUGGAACACGCACAACUAACCUGAUGUAUUUCUUAUUAAAACACACAAACAACUUGAUUUCCAGCAAGAAUACAAACGUGUAAGCUGAGAACUGCACACCUCAGCCCGGCGAACACUCCAGGCCGCCGUGGCACGUCCCGGAGAAGAUUGAACGCAUAUAACAACAACAUAUCUGUACACGGCAAUAUCGGAAGCACAUCGGCGAACACUUGAGGCCGCCGCCACACGUCGAUUGCAGGCAUAACAACAACAAAUCUAGACGCGGCAAUGUCGGAUGCACAUUGGCGAAAAGUCGAACACUCAACGCCACCAGCGCACAUCCCGGAGAUCAAAGGCGCAACAGCAACACAUCUAUACGCGGCAAUGUCGGAGGUACAUCAGUGAAUACUGCAUCGCCACACGUCCUCGAGAUCUUACGCAUGGCAACAACUAAUCUAUACGUGGCAACGUUGGAGGCACGUGGGCCGGUGAAUCGAAGGCGGGAUAGCAACACAUCCAAUGCAAAGCUCAAGAUGCCGGGACUCCCAACAGAUCAAAGUCAUGACAGCGUUAUCAUCAACUUUGUACAAUAUGUCUCCACGUACUACCUACAUAUAUGUUAUGAAUAAAAAAAUAAUUUCAAAUUUCGUUUGAAGGUAACAACGAUACGAUGUACAGAGCCAAAAGGAGAGAGUAGAGCAAUACGUGCAUCUUUUUUUUUUGUUGAGAGAAGAAUAAACUCACGUGCAUCUAAGCUACCGAUGUCUCAACCCUAGCCUAAAAAAAGUUGCCGAGUGUCUGCAUCUACGGAUUGGACGCUAGACUUUGUAUUAUUCUUUUAUGUUAGCAUACGUUGAUAGAUUGGUGCAAAUAAGUUUGAUGUCAAAAAACUAUAGCAAGCACAUAGCUCAAAACUAAAUGAUUGACCCAACAAAACAAAAUAUUACAUAAAUGUUACUGUCGCUUUAAGCUAGAGAAUCUGCACAUUUGAUCAGGGGUCAAUCGAAGGACAAACGUUAUUAGUCAGGUUGCUCACAAAAAUAAAAACAUAUUUUUCAUUAUGUGAAUAAAGAAUAAAACUAAAUUUAUAUCUGCAGUUCAAAAAUAUGAGUAAAAAUAAAUAGAAAAUUAUUUUUAUCAUAUUAGAUUCAGAAAUGGGAUUUACAUAUAAAUUAUACUGAACAUGAAAUACAAUAAAAAAAUUUAAAAAAUCAAAUUACCGUCAGAUUAAAAUGAAACUUGAUGCAAAUGAAUGGACAAAAAAAGUCACUCUUGGGUCAAUUUUCACAGCUAUUUUAUGAGUAUCUUUGCUUACAUGAAUCUCGAUGAGAGAAUCAGAUAGUUCUGAUCGGUCGUUGAAUGCUAAUUUCACAGUUGUCCGAGAAAUAGCAAUACCAAAAUGUUUAUUACUAACUAUAUAUAAAUAACAUUUUGUCAAAGACGAACGUACCAAUCAUAUUACCCACAUACGAGUAGGAAAUUCCCACCAAAGUUUGAUCAUGUUUCCUCGAGAUGCAUACGUUACCUAUAAUAUUUUUUGUAAAUUAAACUAUAUAUCAACGACAAUGUCAGAAAAAUAAACUAAGUAAUAUCUGUUUCCCUACAUUGGAAAAUAUUGGUAUAGAAUAUAAUAAUAUAUAUAAUUGAACAUGUGGGUGAAGGAAAGAAAAAAGGUUAAGCAAGAAGGUUAGGAGCAAAUUUAUUGCAAGUGCGCGAAUAACCAUUUUAGCUAUUCUAAAAAUCACAUUUCAAUUCAAAAGAACAUAUUCAUCAUCAGAAAAAAAGCUACUCUGUGCUCGAGUGAGAGAAAAUCUAGCAAUUUCCACACCAUUAAAAAAUAGGUUGUCUUAGACUGGACAGCAGCGAAAUAGUAAGGAACAUAGUUUCAUUUUGUUGGCAAUGACUUCUAGAGUAAUAUGAGUGGAAGGACAAAUGCAUAGGGAUGAGAUGGAAAGGGAUUGGGAAAGCUGGCAACCAACAGCUACAAAUCGUGAGACUCCUAGAAAAUUUCAAUGGGACACCAAGUUUAAUAAUUUUUUCUAAAUAUAACUUCUCUAUGUAAAUACUCAUGUAGCAGCUAACCAAAAUCAUCAUGAGAAAAAAACUACACUUUGCUCGAGGGAGAGAAAAUCUAGCAAUUUCCACGCCAUUAAAAAAUUAGGUUGUUUCAGACUGGACAGCAGCGAAAUAGUAAAUAACAUUGUUUCAUUUUCCUGGGAAUGACUUCUAAAGUAAUAUCACGGCAAGGAUGAAUGCAUAGGGAUGAGAAGGAAAGGAAUUGGGAAAAAGCUGGCAACCAACAACUACUAAUUGUGAGACUUUUAGAAAAUUUAAAUGGAACCCCAAGUUUAAUAAUGUUUUCUAAAUAUAACUUCUCUAUAUAAAUAAUCAUGUAGCAGCUAACCAAAAAAAGACAUUAAUUUUUUAGCAAGUCUAGCCGCGCAAAUGCGCGGGUUAUAUUGCUAGUUGUUUAAAUAGCGAUGGGACACGAGGAGCCAACCGGCGUUCUGUUUAAUGCCAGCCGGCUGACGAACGAACAUGUGGCUGCAGUAAUUAUCCUGGCACACGCGCGGGUUUAAUGGUGGAAGGCGGGCAGUCUGGAGGAAUGAGGCAGGAUGUGUGUUUAGCCGGCGUGCAGCGGGGCGGUACCCUUGGCGUGCGUGGGGCGGUACUGGAGGCAUGAAUGUGGGCAGCCGGCGCAGAGCGGGAACACGUGUGUGCGAGAGAGGAGGGGGUUUGGGUGGGCACGAGUGGUCGGAAGCAGUCGUGGGUGUUGUCCGGACGCGUGCAAAGCCCCCCUCCCCCAUGUGUUGUCUCCGGUUUGCGGGAGAAAGUACGUCUGGACUGCCCUGUGGACCGAUACAAGCCCGCAUUAGAUGGCACAACAUGUCCGGACCAUGUGGUCCGGAUGGUUGUGGACGGUUUAAUUGAGGGUCGGCGUUGGAGAUGCCUUAGAGUUUAUGAAUCCAUUGUGUUUUCCUAAUCAUAAAAAAUCACUUAUAAUAAGUUAUAUGGAAAGACACGUAUAUAAGUUAGGUUCAGACUCCAGCUUUCCUCUUAUAUAUGUUUUCUUUUCUGAUCCGACUGAUUCCAAUAGAGUGAGCCUAGCGUUGUUUUUCUGGAAACUCGAUACACGUUCUUUCAAGCAAAUCACAUCCAUUCUUUUUAACUAAUUUUUUUCUUGUUUUAAUAAUAUAAUAAAUCAUUUGUAUUUCUUAUCUCGAACAGUUGACCUGUAAUUCCUAUUGUAAUCUAAGGAUAAUGUUUGGAUUUUACUUUCAAAUAUUUGAAAUGGCCAUGAUGGAAUCACAUCCAUUUAUUUUAUUAUUAUUUGAAUUUGAUCCAAAAGAUAAAUAAUGAGUAGACGUCCUGAAAACUUUUCUGAGAACUUUGGUAAUCAAAAGACAAAAAAGGUUUUAAGAACUGAAGCAAACCACGAAUUUUACUCUCUAUUUUACUAAAGCAAGUGGCUGCUAUUUAGGUCUAGUGAAUACCAAAUUGACCAACAACCUUUUUUCCAAAUUGGAAGGAAUGCAGUUCUCAGCUCUCACCGUGGUGAUUAUACAAUCUGGAUUUUCGAGCUGUAGCUAGUCAACUUAUGUUAGUGGCAUAUGUAACAUAGUGUUGGUCACUGGGAAUGGAUGAAGCCAUGAGUGAAGGAACAGGAAAUGACAGAAGUAUGAUUUGUAGAAUUUCAAAACUCAAAAUAUCUAGUUUUAUGGAGUGAUAUGAAAUAAGCAAACCAACUGCUUAUAAAAAUGUAAAAUUAAACGACAUAUUUAGAAAUGUGAUUGUGAAGUCAUUGUCACAAAAUAUGACCCCACUAAAAAUGAACAUUCAACCUUAUUUUCAGAAGUUUGCAUACAAAUCCCAUGUAAAUUAUGGUAGUGCUCACAAACAAAUAAACUAAAAUCGUGCUUGAUCCACCAUGAAACUUACUACCUUGUCUAUAUUCUUGAAGAGCUCAAAAAAUGCUGAAGCAAUGCCACCUAGCUAGAUAUAUACUUUUGUCAUGUCCAGAGAUUUCCUGCACCAUGAACAAGAAUGCCACCGCAAUAAUAGUCGCUCUUUUGCGACAAAAAAAAUACUGACUUUGGACAGCAAUGCCUGCACAACUACUAUCUGUACGCCAUGCAUGCACCCAUGUAUGUCAGUAAUACAUAUUAUAAGCUUGUGAACAUUGGUUUCAAAGUAGUGAUACCAACAAUACAUCAUCCAGUGAUGGCCAGUCGCAGUACCUAGAUGCCACUUCGGUGCCUGGUUUCAAAGUCGCAAGUUCAUGGCAGGGAAAGCAAUCAUGUGUCUAGAGUAGAGACUUAAAUAAAGACCCAUGCCAUGUAGAUGGAUCAGAUAAUUAUGCCAAUCCUGAUUUUUCAGUGCAAAUCCAGUUCUAAAAUUUCCACUUGUUUAGUUGCUCCCAAAAAGGGCUAUACAGUUAACCAAAAUGAAUUUUGCUCCUAACACCACAGUUUGUUUCCAACGAUCAAGAGAGCGAGCUUCACCAUAGUGAAGUGUGUUUGAUUAAGUACCUGAGCCGGUGUUGUACAUGCAUAUAUGAUAUGUUCACCGCUCCUACCGGAUGCCCGCCGCCGAACUCACCAUCCGUUCUACACAAGCAGCAAAACCGAUCAGAUAAGCUAUUUCGGUUGUUACUUGUAUAGUCUGAUGGAACGAUCAGUUCCAGAAUUACGCCAUGGCGCCAUCUUUUAUAUGCAAUAUACUGUGAACUGAAUUUUCUGUCAGUGAAGUUGACAGAACAGAGUACUACAGGGUAGAGGGGUAGAGCAUGCAAGUGGUGAUUGUUGUGUGGUUUUUACGUUAGUUAUUUGUGCACCGGGCGUCUAGGUAGCGUUGGCUGGCCAUCUGCAGCUCAUAGGCGCACGAGCACAGCGGUGGCACGCCCAGCACCGCCUCCACUGCCCGCAAGGACGCCACCUAGCCGCCGCCGUAUCUGGAGAAGAAGCAACAAGCAUGUAAGAGUUUGUCCGUGGACGCUCUAUGGAUCGACCUGAUCGAUCACUCGUUUUGUGCAUGCACCACCACACAUGGCUGAACCGAGCAUCCUCCUGGCGGCGCCCAGUGAGACCGUCCUCGCAGCGGCCACGGCUCGAUGGUUCGCCCCCGUGUGCACGGUACGUGCCGCAGCCUGCAGUCAAAACAGAGCGCGUAGAAGGUGAAGGCAAGGGGAGCUGGUGUGCUGGGAGGGAGACUCCUGGAGCUAGGGAGCACGCCGACGCCAUUGCUCAAGGUGCAAGUUUGUUUCAAUCUUCAAUCCUGCUCGCUGUUGAUUCUGGUUACAGUAAAUUUUAGCUAGAUAUGGUGUAACCUAAGUGUUAUGCCUAGUCUUAAUCUAUCUAUCUAUCCAAUCUUCUAUUCGGCGAGGUGGCUGCGCCUGUGGCAGAUGUGGCCGCUGCCAUGGCCGGCGCCAGACCUGGUCGAUCUCCCUCUUCUGUAUUUGAGAAAAAAAAUCUCCCUCUUCUCUUCUGAUGAGAAGGGGAAGAGGUGGUGAGAGAUGAAGUCGACGGCUUUGGGGAGAGGAUACGGGAGGACGCCGGUAGUGAGGCGGCAUGAGGAAGACAAGGUGGUUGGCAGCGGCGACGCGUGAGGGGAGGGCAAGGGAGGUGUAGUGGUGCAUGUUGAGGAGUGGGUGUGCAGCGUGCCCAGUUCUCGAGGGAGGAAGGAGGUCGUCAAGGGAGUGAUCCAUGGGAGUUUCUUUUCCUUCUGAGCGAGCCUAGUUGGGCUCUCUGCAGCGUCUAGGCCCAAUGCACCACAUGUCUUCAAAUUGGCCACCAGUAGCAGCCCAUAGAACAGACAGGGCCAGUUUACAAAUUUUAAAACAUAAGUUUUUUAGCGCCCAUGAAAAACAGAACACAUAUCUUUCCAAACAUAAUGAACUGUAGGUACCACCAAAAAAACCAUAAUGAACUAUAGGUUGUUACAAGAACUCAUGCCAUCCCACAGCCGCCCUCCCACCCUGCCAACAUUGUUGCAACUGCACUCGCAAGCGUUACCAUAGAUGAUCAUUUGCAUGAUUUCGCGUAAAACAAAAUAAGAUCUACAAACGAAUAGAAGCUACACAUACCUUGGCAUGCACACACAUUGGAAGCCAUACCAAGGUGAUAAGUGUUAAUAACUUGUACGACAUAUACAACAGUUAAGAUAAGUGAAAGCAAUUUGAUGAGUCAUGGUCUAUCAAAGCAAGCUUUAUUACUACUCUAAUCUAUCUUAACAGGUCACACAUGAUUACAAUCCUUUUUGUGUGCAAGUCAAGCUUAUCUAGUUUACACGUAACAACUUGUAGAACAUUACACAAUUGAUGUUUGCUAAUAACUUCUAGAAAGCUAAAACACUUGACAUGUAAAAAGAAUUUGAUGAGUCAUGACCUAGUAAAUCAAGUUACAUUACUAGUCUCAUCUAUCUUAACAGGUCACACAAGAUUACAAACUAAGUUCUGCGCAAGCAAUGCUUAUCUAGUUUACACAUAACAACUUGCAAAACAUUACAAAUUUAGUUUCAAAAAAUUAGGCAAUCUAGAUUAGUGUUUGAGUUGUAAAUUGAAUAAGAUGAGUCAUGUGUGUUAUCACAACUUUUUGGUGGUGGAAUGAUAGUGCCACCAAACGCAACAUACCAAAUUAUGAUUUUAGGAAGCAUCCAAGCACUUUCCAGACAAGCAAAUGCCAAUUGUGAAGGAGAUGAUGCCAUGGCAGCUAUAAAUAGGCCUGUAGCAUGAUGAUCAUCCUUCCUCAUCCAUCAUUCUCAUAAGUAGAGUGCAUCAUUCAAGCCAAGCAAGGAGUGGUCAAUACAAAUCCACCAUGAAGACCUUUCUCAUCCUUGCCCUCCUUGCUAUCGUGGCGACCACCACCACAACUGCAGUUAGAGUUCCAGUGCCACAAUUGCAGCCACAAAAUCCAUCUCAGCAACAACCACAAGAGCAAGUUCCAUUGGUGCAACAACAACAAUUUCUAGGGCAGCAACAACAACAAUUUCCAGGGCAACAACAACCAUUUCCACCACAACAGCCAUAUCCGCAGCCGCAACCAUUUCUGCCACAACUACCAUAUCCGCAGCCGCAACCAUUUCCACCACAACAAUCAUAUCCACAACCACAACCACAAUAUCCGCAACCACAACAACCAAUUUCGCAGCAACAAGCACAACUACUACAACAACAACAACAACAACAACAACAACAACAACAACAACAACAAAUCCUUCAACAAAUUCUGCAACAACAACUGAUUCCAUGCAGGGAUGUCGUCUUGCAACAACCCAAUAUAGCACAUGCAAGCUCACAAGUAUCGCAACAAAGUUACCAACUGUUGCAACAAUUAUGUUGUCAGCAACUGUGGCAGACCCCCGAGCAGUCACGGUGCCAAGCCAUCCACAAUGUCAUUCAUGCUAUUAUUUUGCAUCAUCGUCAUCAACAACAACAACAACAACAACAACAACAACAACAACAACCGUCGAGCCAGGUCUCCUACCAGCAGCCUCAGCAACAAUAUCCAUCAGGCCAGGGCUUCUUCCAGCCAUCUCAGCAAAACCCACAGGCCCAGGGCUUUGUCCAACCUCAGCAACUGCCGCAGUUCGAGGAAAUAAGGAACCUAGCGCUGCAGACGCUACCAGCAAUGUGCAAUGUCUACAUCCCUCCAUAUUGCUCGACCACCAUUGCGCCAUUUGGCAUCAUGAGUACUAACUGAGAAGAGAAGAACUCUAUUACUAGAUAUAUGAAACACCGUUUUCUUAAAACAUGGUUUGGUCGUUGUAGCGGUGAAAAAUAAAGUGACAUGCACUAUCAUGUAAGAACCCGAACUAGACUAUUUCAAACUUGGAAAUAAAAGACAAACACAGGUCUUGUCUGCAUAUGAUUGUUUGUUUGAGUUCCAUUCAUGUGCCCGUUCACAAGUUCACCCCUAAUUAUAUAUAUUAAGCAUUAGUUAGAUGUUUAUGUGCAUUAAUCUAAAGAUAACAAAAUGAAUCUGAAACUUGAAUUUAAUUAAAGUAUUUUCUUGGACUUUCAAAUUGAGCAUUGAUAGUGAGGACUAUCCACAUCCUUGGCUUGCCCUUGAUCAAUUAUUUCCAAAGAAGCAUUCAAUUCAUCAGUCACUUACAUUGAUUUUUGUGGCUUGUACUUCUCCUCAACAUGAGUAUCUUCAUUGCAGCUACUCCAAAUCUGCCACAUAACUGAAGCAUUAAUAGUGCUCUUCCUUGCAUCAAGGAAAUAUGGAUCGAAGAUAUCUCUUGACCAUGUUUUCGGGUGCAACCUUGGGAGUUUUAUGUCAAAAUAUUCUCAAGAAGAAUCCAAGAAUAAACUUGCAUGCUCACGUGUGAAAAGGGCAUAUGAAGUAACAUUUCCUCACCAAGGCCACACAUAGGGCACACACAUAACCCCAUCACAUGCCUUUUUAGUUAUGCAUAUGAAGGUAGGAUGUUUUUAAUUACUCUGCACCAAAAUACUCUUAACUUGGAUUGUACCCUAAGCUUUCGUUGCCUUUUACAUUUUUCUUCCCCAUUAGAUGAACUAGAUAGUCCAGCUACCACACGAUACCUUGUGUUCAUCUCGGCUCUGUACAACAAUUGAACAGAAGAAAUGUCAUUUCUUUACCAUACCCAUGACCAAAUGUUCUCUGCUACUCCCUCCGUCCCAAAAUACUGCCAUCCAUGUCGACAACAAUGAGUCAUAUAGGACCGCUAUGCCUCUGUUGAAGGAGGUGGUGGAGCGAUCCGGAGAUUAUUCUGCCAUCCAUGUUGAGUAAAACCUCACUGGCCACUUGCUCCAACCGCAUACACACCGCCAUAAACAACGGUUGGUACUCAGUUCGGUGUAGCAUACACCAUGUAGGAAGCGAGUGCUUACUCCUAGCUACUGAAUUAUGUACACCAAAUAAACCCAUUUACACGAAGUUAAUGACAAAAAAGUUGAUGCUUGCUACGCAGAUGUGUAGUACAAAUUAAGAAGUGCAAGAUAAAAAGAUGCUGGUCCUUGAUUCGUUGUUGAUCCUGAGCAUGCCAUCAUCAACUUGUAGUUAAUUAUCAUACAAAUUGGCUCUUUCAUAGAGUUGGAGGCUAGCUCCUUGGAUCAGCACGCGCUUAAACACAAAGAACACGUAUAUGUAUUCUCUCCGAAGUUCAACUCUUGAUUGGCCAGCAAAAAUGGUCCGACCGGGUAGAGGAAAGGCAUGUUUGCUAGUACGCCUGGAGGAAAUGCCUUUGAUUAGGGCAUCUCCAACGGCGACCAGUAAAUUUUCUCCCAUAUUUGUCCACGGACAAGGGAUCAGUCCGUGGAUAUGGAUAUAGAAAUCGGCCAUCCAACGUUGUCCGCAUAUAUUUCGAACACUUCUUUUAAAAAAUCGAAUGAAAUUCAUGCAAACACAGUGGAUUCCAUACAAACCGGACAAAAACGUUUACAUUUUGGACAUAUUUUUAACUAAAAACUCUACAGCCGGCACCGGCGACGACGAAUAUCCUCCGGCGACAUGGAUACCCUUGACUAGUCUACUGCCGGCUGCAGCGGAUCUCCAAUGUCAUCCCCAUGUCCGGCAGCUGUGAGCCCUAGGUAUAUGCUUCAACGCAAAGAGCAGCUCGCCUCCCUACCACUCAUCGGAGUGGAACAACCAACUGAUGCUUCUGCCAAUGGGAAAGGGUUCCUACGCUACAUAGGUCAGAGUUGGUUUUGGGUUGGGAACGGUGGUGGCCUGCCAGAGGGCAAGACACCGGCUGUGUACGCUGGUGUCACCUCAAUAUGGCAUUCAUGGGACCCAAGCGACAGCUUCUCCUCGACUAUUGUGGCGAGCACAGACGUGUUGGACACCACCUCGUCGAUGUCCAUGCAGCCCGCUUCUUUCUCUGUAGUCAGGACGCGGUGACACGCGCUUUGACAUAGGAUGACGCGCUCACAGGCACGGGAGGGGCGGUACAACAUGGCACCAUCAAUGGCAGCCAUGAUGCCCGUGCCACUGUGGUCCCUCUCAGUGUCGACCUGGAGCAACUCGCCACUCCUCGGCUCGUGACCGGCGGGGUUGACGGGCCACCUAGCUAUUGUUUAUGCGAGACAACUCUUUUUCCUGCUCAUCAGAUGCCAAUAAGGAAGGAGGCCUGAUUGAUUUCUAACUGGAACACGCACAACUAACCUGAUGCCAACUAAUCAGAUGCCAAUAAGGAAGGAGGCCUCAACUUAGCUAUAGGAGGUGAAGGCAAGGGGAGCUGGUGUGCUGGGAGGGAGACUCCUGGAGCUAGGGAGCACGCCGACGCCAUUGCUCAAGGUGCAAGUUUGUUUCAAUCUUCAAUCCUGCUCGCUGUUGAUUCUGGUUACAGUAAAUUUUAGCUAGAUAUGGUGUAACCUAAGUGUUAUGCCUAGUCUUAAUCUAUCUAUCUAUCCAAUCUUCUAUUCGGCGAGGUGGCUGCGCCUGUGGCAGAUGUGGCCGCUGCCAUGGCCGGCGCUAGACCUAGUCGAUCUCCCUCUUCUGUAUUUGAGAAAAAAAAAUCUCCCUCUUCUCUUCUGAUGAGAAGGGGAAGAGAUGGUGAGAGAUGAAGUCGACGGCUUUGGGGAGAGGAUACGGGAGGACGCCGGUAGUGAGGCGGCAUGAGGAAGACAAGGUGGUUGGCAGCGGCAAUGCGUGAGGGGAGGGCAAGGGAGGUGUAGUGGUGCAUGUUGAGGAGUGGGUGUGCAGCGUGCCCAGUUCUCGAGGGAGUAAAGAGGUCGUCAAGGGAGUGAUCCAUGGGAGUUUUUUUUCCUUCUGAGCGAGCCUAGUUGGGCUCUCUGCGGCGUCUAGGCCCAAUGCACCACAUGUCUUCAAAUUGGCCACCAGUAGCAGCCCAUAGAACAGACAGGGCCAGUUUACAAAUUUUAAAACAUAAGUUUUUUAGCGCCCAUGAAAAACAGAACACAUAUCUUUCCAAACAUAAUGAACUAUAGGUACCACCAAAAAAACCAUAAUGAACUUUAGGUUGUUACAAGAACUCAUGCCUUCCAACAGCCUCCCUCCAACCCUGCCAACAUUGUAGCAGCUGCACUCGCAAGCGUUACCAUAGGUGAUCAUUUGCAUGAUUUCGCGUAAAACAAAAUAAGAUCUACAAACGAAUAGAAGCUACACAUACCUUGGCAUGCACACACAUUGCAAGCCAUACUAAGGUGAUAAGUGUUAAUAACUUGUACAACAUAUACAACACUUAAGAUAAGUAAAAGCAAUUUGAUGAGUCAUGGUCUAUCAAAGCAAGAUGCAUUACUACUCUAAUCUAUCUUAACAGGUCACACAUGAUUACAAUCCUUGUUGUGUGCAAGUCAAGCUUAUCUAGUUUACACGUAACAACUUGUAGAACAUUACACAAUUGAUGUUUGCUAAUAACUUCUAGAAAGCUACAACACUUGACAUGUAAAAAGAAUUUGAUGAGUCAUGACCUACUAAAGCAAGUUACAUUACUAGUCUCAUCUAUCUUAACAGGUCACACAAGAUUACAAACUAAGUUCUGCGCAAGCAAUGCUUAUCUAGUUUACACAUAACAACUUGCAAAACAUUACAAACUUAGUUUCAAAAAAUUAGGCAAUCUAGAUUAGUGUUUGAGUUGUAAAGUGAAUAAGAUGAGUCAUGUGUGUUAUCACAACUUUUUGGUAGUGGAAUGAUAGUGCCACCAAACACAACAUACCAAAUUAUGAUUUUAGGAAGCAUCCAAGCACUUUCCAGACAAGAAAAUGCUAAUUGUGAAGGAGAUGAUGCCAUGUCAGCUAUAAAUAGGCCUGUAGCAUGAUGAUCAUCCUUCCCCAUCCAUCAUUCCCAUAAGUAGAGUGCAUCGUUCAAGCCAAGCAAGCAGUGGUCAAUACAAAUCCACCAUGAAGACCUUUCUCAUCCUUGCCCUCCUUGCUAUCGUGGCGAUUGAGGGAGUCCUGGAUAAGGGGUAUCUGGACAGCCGGACUAUAUUCAUCGUCCGGACUAUAGAAGCGUCAAGACACAAGACUCAAGACUUCGGCUCGUGUCCGGAUGGGACUCUCCUUUGCGUGGAAAACAAGCUUGGCGACCCGGAUAUUAUGUUUCCUUCCUUGUAACCGAGUCCAUGUAAACCCUAGCUCUCCGGUGUCUAUAUAAACCGGAGAGCAUGGUCCUUACAAGGCCGACCACAAUUACAAUCAUACCAUCAUAGGCUAGCUCUUAGGGUUUAGCCUCUACAAUCUCGUGGUAGAUCUACUCUCGUAUUCCACAUAUCUUCAAUAUCAAUCAAGCAGGAAGUAAGGUUUUACCUCCAUCGAGAGGGCCCGAACCUGGGUAAACAUUGUGUCCCUUGCUUCCUGUUACCAUCAUCCUAAGACGCACAGAUUGGGACCCCCUACCCGAGAUCCGCCGGUUUUGACACCGACGUUGGUGCUUCCAUUGAGAGUUCCUCUGUGUCAUCGCUUCGAGGCUUGAUGGCGUCUUCAAUCGUCAACAACACGGUCCAGGGUGAGACUUUUCUCCCCGGACAGAUCUUUAUGUUCGGCGGCUUCGCACUGCGGGCCAAUUCAUUUGGCCAGUUGGAGCAGAUCGACAGCCUCGCCCCUGGCCACCAGAUCAGGUUUGGAAACUUGAACUACACGACAGAUAUCCGCGGAUACUUGAUCUUCGACGGAUUCGGGCCUGCGCCAGGAGUGCCGGAUAGCCACGACGAGCACGGCCUAGACCUGCUGUCGGAUAGUGCCCGGGACAUUAUCCCCGAAGCAGCCUUGGAUCUAAAUUCAGGACAGGUUGCGGCGCCUAUGGACGGAGGGCUGGACCCCGCUCCGCAGGCCGCACGCUUAUCGGCGGUGGAGCCGAACACUGGCCCCCCCUGUAACCCCGGACCCCCGGACUCAUAUCCGGAUGUUGGUCCUGGUCCGCUCACUCUCGAGCCAGCCGAGCCAGGUUGGGCUCCGGUAAUGGAGUUUACCGCUGCGGACAUCUUUCAGCACUCGCCCUUUGGCGACAUGCUGAGCUCAUUGAAGUCUCUCUCUUGGUCAGGAGACUCUGGGGCGAACUAUGUCCGACCCGAGUGGGAAGCAUGCGAUGAAGGAAUUCGGCGCCCACCCACCACCCACUUCAUUGCCACGAUCAAAGAAUUAGCCGACGUGCUCAACUCCGGAGACAUCGAUGGUAUGGACGACGAUGCAGGAGAGGCUCCAGAACACCUGGAGCGCGGGACUACUACCUUGUCACACGACAUAUACAUGGUAGAUACGCCCAAUAAGGACGGCAACCCGAACGAUAAAACACCCGGGCAAAAGCCAAAGAGGCGGUGCAGACGCCGCUCAAAGUCUAGCAAUGGCAAAAAUAGAGACAAGAGCGCAAGAAGGGUUGAUAUACCCGCAAACUCUGAAAGCAAUAAUGACCACAUGGACCCAACGAUGGAGCAGGACGAGCCAGGUCACACCAAAUAAAGUUCGGAGAAAAUACCCGAUCACAACGAUCCGGAGGGACGAGCUCAUGAUGCCACCCCAGAACAGGAAGACAAUCUGGACAACGAUGCAUUCAUCAUCCCGGACGAACAAGUGGAACGAGACAACCUCCACAGAAAGCUUAUGGCCACCGCAAGAAGUCUAGAAAAGCAGAAGCAACGGCUCAAGGCUGCACGGGAAAAGCUAAGUCGCAGAUGGAACAGGGUGCUAGACACCGAAGAAAGAUAUGGCGAUGACCGUCAUACGAAAAGCUAUCCGAAGCGCAAGCUGCUGCCAGAAUUCGACGAUGCGGCCGUUCCGCCAAAAGAAAAUUCGACCAAGAAACCAGACGUACCGCCUCACAACCAUAAUAGAGCGGCCGUGGACACUGCGCACGAUCCACGCGGGCAUCCGAAUAAAAAGACCGGUGCAGCCAGGUCCAUAUAUGGAUCUAGAAGACACACCCCAACGCAGAACUAUGGUCACCCAAACAUUCAUAAAAGCCAGAUACCAGUUCGGAAUCAACCCCGGACACAACAACAGCCAACUACAUGCCACAACGCGUCCAGAUACAGAGGGGCUGCUUACCACCUGUGCUUCACCGAAGAAGUACUGGACCAUGAAUUCCCACAAGGAUUUAAACCUGUGAACAUAGAAGCAUACGCCGGCACGACAUACCCAGGGGUCUGGAUCGAGGAUUUUAUCCUACAUAUUCACAUGUCUCAUGGGGAUGACCUCCACGCCAUCAAAUACCUUCCCCUCAACUUGAAGGGACCAGCUAGACACUGGUUGGAAAGCCUCCCCGAAAACUCAAUUGGGAGUUGGGAGGUGAAAGGAUCGAUAUAGUUGGGGGGGGGGGUGAAUAGGAAACUAACAAUUUUUAAGCUUUUCUUUACCAAUUUAAACUUUGCAUCAAAAUAGGCUGUCUAGAUAUGCAACUAUGUGAGCAACCUAUAUGAUGGAAUAACAACUAGCACAUAAGCAAGCAAUGGAUACAACACAAGUAAGCUUGCAAAAGUAAAGGCAUGAAAUAACCAAGAGUGGAGCCGGUGGAGACGAGGAUGUGUUACCGUAGUUCCUUCCUUUUAAGGGGAGGUACGUCUCCAUUAGAGCGGUGAGGAGGCACAAUGCUCCCCAAGAAGCCACUAGGGCCACCGUAAUCUCCUCAUGCCCUCACACAAUGCGAGAUGCCGUGAUUCCACUAUUGGUGCCCUUGAAGGCGGCGACCGAACCUUUACAAACAAGGUUGGGGCAAUCUCCACAACUUAAUUGGAGGCUCCCAACGACAGCAUGAAGCUUCACCACAAUGGACUAUGGCUCCGAGGUGACCUCAACCGUCUAGGGUGCUCCAACACCCAAGAGUAACAAGAUCCGCUAGGGAUUAGUGGGGGGAAUCGAAUAUCUCUUGGUGGAAGUGUAGAUCGGGGCCUUGUCACCCAAUCCCGAGCAAAUCAACAAGUUUGAUUGGCUAGGGAGAGAGAUCGGCCGAAAAUGGAGCUUGGAGCAACAAUGGAGCUUAGGGAUGGAAGAGGUGGUCAACUAGAGGUAGGAGACACACCUUUUAUAGUGGAGGACAACAUCCAACCGUUAUCCACUUAGACCAGCCUGCGACAUGUGGUACUACUGCUCCAGGAGCGCGGUAUUAUCGCAAGGCCAUGCGGUACUACCGUGGGAGACCACGGUACUACCGUGGCAGCUACAGAGAUUAUAAGACAAGCAGUACUACCGCGAGCGCGGUACUACCGCUCCCACCUGCGGUACUACCGCGAGGCAGGUAAGUCCUAGUCUGGAAACGGCACGGAUGAAUAAAAAUACAUCCGUGCCUACUUCCGUGGUCAAAGAGACGAUGCAAACAUCCGUCACGGUACUACCGUGCACAAGGCGCGGUACUACCGUGUGUGCGCAGAUGUAAAAAAUUACAUCCGCCCCUACUACCGUGAAGCAACGGCACUAGGCCAGGGAACCACGGUACUACAGCUCGGGGGGAGCGGUACUACCGUGGGCACCCACGGUACUACCGCCCUCAACGUGUGGUACUACCGUGUGGGCGCGGAUGUAAAAAUUUACAUCCGCGCCUACUACCGCGAGGCAGCGAUACUUGGCCAGGGAGCGACGGUACUACGACUCCGAAUGAGCGGUACUACCGUGGGCUCCCGUGAUACUACCGCACAUGGGCACGGUACUACCGCAAGUGCUUGCGGUACUACCGCUCCAGGGAGCAGUACUACCGCAAGCUCAGCAACAGUAGUCCAGACACUCACAUAGAGGAUAGAUGGGGAAUGCUCCAAAGUGCAAGGGAAAGGAGGAGACAAGGAAGGAAACGUGUACGUGAUGAUUCCACCCGAACCUUUCUGACGUGGACCCCCUCUUAAUAGUACGGCUCUCCAACGACUCAAAUCCACCAAAAAGAAACAUAGAAAUACGCCGUCUUCAAUAGUCUUCGAGGGGCACCGAACCGUCUUGUGCCUAGCGAUGAAGCAACUGAGAAACUCAAGGCACACGAUUAGUCCGCUAAAGCAUUGUCAUCAAUCACCAAAACACUUAGGGAUAAAAAUGCCCUUACAAUAUCCCCCUUUUUGGUGGAUGACAAUACGGGAUUUUCACAAGGGAAAAAAUAAUGAGCAUAGGCAAACCCCUCCUCUCUAAAAUGUAGACGGGCUCCCCCUAGAUGUGUGCAAUCUAGAUGGAUGCUUUGGACUGCACAACACACUAGCUAGGAUUAACACUCCCCCUAUAUUUUAGAGACAAGGCAUGUAAGACUAACAAUCUAAGUAAGUGCAUAAACAAAGGUAGCACAAUAUAACACUAGCUCACUAAGAUAGGUAGAGUGCAUAUGUCUUACACCAUAUGAGGGACAAACUAAACCAAAUCAACCGAAACAACCGAAACGAGGUUCAAAUGAGACACGCAAACACACGAAACACGACACACGACUCACAAAUCCCUACACUCUCUCCUCCUUUGGCAUCGAGACGCCAAAAAGGCAGAGAGGACACCUACACACAAGUGGUGGCUCAAGCAGAGAAAUCAUCCCAAUGAUCCUCUUCAGACCCGGCAGCAAGAAUGGUCUCCUCGACGUCCUCCUUAGAAUCAGUCCACUUGUAGCCUUGUUUCUCCAUCCACUCAACCUCUGGAGUAAUGUGAUCCUCAGACCCACCAGACACGUCCUCUCCAUACAGCUUCAGAAUCUUCUUGUCAUGGCGACGACUCUCCUUGGAUGCCACGUGAGUCCUGUACUGCCCCUUAGCUUGUAUGCAUAAAAGAGUCUUCAUCUUGUCCUUCAGCUUCUUGGCCCACAAGGGCAUAGAGGAACUAUGGGAAGACCCAGCAGCACGGUUAGCAGCAACAUCCUCUGCUUCAGCCUCAUCCUCAUCAACAACCCUCUUAGCAGUAGUCGCCUCAGCACGAGUAGUAGUGUUGGCCCAUUUGGACUUGACACGGAGACUGAUGGGAUCAUGCCGAAUCCAGUCAGGAGCAAGGAACUCAUCACCAGGGUACUGCUUCGCCCAAGUCUUGGAGAUCAACAGAAACAUGUAUGGUCCAUAGAUAGGCACCUUGCUGUUGAACACCGCAAACCGAAGCUCACACCACAUGAUGUGUGUGACAUCAAGUGGCUGAGUCUGAGAUACGCGAGCCUCCUCGCAGAGGAGCAUCAUAUCCACCAUAUAGGCAUGGACCUUGUCCUUGUCACCAAUGCGAGGGAACAGAGAGUUGCGGAAGAUGCGAUACAUGAUAUCCAGAAAAGAGUUGAGCAUCCACGUUGACUUGCUAUUGGCAAGCACCUUCUCAACAUAGAACGGCUGAAGCUUGUCCUUGUUCGCAGACUCAGAAUUGGCAUGGGGGCGAACACCCACUGGUGAGUUGAGCCCGUCAUCAGGAACCUGGAGCAGAUCCAUGAACUCCUUCCAGGUAGCAGUCAACUGACGACCAUUGGUCGUCCAGGUCAUCCUCCGCUCCUCCCCAGGGUGAAAGAACACUGAGGCAAAGAACUGACAAAUAAGCUCAGGGUCAUAGUCAAGAUGGAAAGAGAUCACAUGCUCAAUAUCAAACUGCUCCACCAAAUCCAGAGCUUCUCCAAAGUACUCACGAUACAUAUCCUUCCUCAGGUGAUGCAUGUCUAUCCACCUGACAUCCACAUAGGUAUUUUGCUUGUUCUUGAUGACAUCCAGAUAGGUGAGAGUCUGCUGCUUGUUCGAAAACAACUCACAGCCUCUAACGGUAGCACGAGGAAUCACAUACGGGUUGAGCUGCCUGAGACGGAUGUACUCAGAUUGGGGUAUCUCGUCCAUGCCCUUAGCGGGUUCCUUGUGCUUGCUAGCGGUGGCCUUGACAUGGCGCUUGGGGGCAGAGGAGGAGCCCUCUGGUGCAUCACUUGGAUUGCACAGACGCUUGGAGCCAGUGUCACGACUGGGAUUGGAACGACGAGAGCCACCACCUGAGACACAAAAUGCAAAACACCCACGACAGGCAAAAAGGAUCAAUGCAAAGACCACGGCAAAGCACAAGAACCACAUAGGAAGUAUACGUGAAAGUUUCCAUGAGAUAGAUGGGAUCCACGGUAGUACUGCCGGAUGCGGUGGUACUAAAAUUUUAGUACCGCUCCAAGUCGCAGUAGUACCGGGGUGGGAGCGGUAGUAAAAUUUUAGUGUCGUAGCGUGCACGGUAGUACCGCGCCUGACGGGCGGUAGUACCAGACAAGCGGUAGUACCGCAUAGGUGGCGCGGUAGUACUGCACCGCGUCAGAUCCAAACCAAAGUUUGAAUCUGAGAAGAACCGCGAAACCACGGCGGUACUACGGUUGAUCAAAUCUAGCACAGGACAAAAAGACAAGUAUAAUCCCUACACGAUACUACUCUCCUACAGCCUACUCUUGCAUAGAUUUAGCCUAAAAUCUCAAGAACACACAAGUCUUCCCCACAAACCUAGAGGCAAAGAAAACAACAAAAGCGAGAGGGAGUUGGGAAAAGACCCUUGCCCAUGGCAAGAGCACGUGGUGGGGAAUGAUCCCACCGAACGGAAUCGCAGGAGAGCAGCCGGAGGCGGAGAUCCGGCGAAGGACCCCGGCCCCGUUCUUGAGCGAGGGAGAGAGAGACGAAGUGGGAAACUGAUGAAUGGGUAUGGGGGAGUUGGAACUCCCCCUCCCCAUCCUUAUCCCCACGCGUCAAAGAUGUCGCGGUAGUACCGCACAUCAUCACGGUAGUACCGCUUGGGUGGAACUACCGCACCGAAGCAGUAGUACCGCUCUCCCAGGCGGUAGUAAAAAAUUACUGCCGCGUGGGGCGGUAGUACCGAGAUCUCCACACGCGUAGUACCGUAGCAUGCUGCGGUAGUACCGUGAGCUCAAGAAAAAGCAGGUUUCAACACAAAAGAGGUCUUUGCAAGGAAACUUUUAGCACAAGAGACACCACAAGAACACGCACAACCCAAAGGCAGAAAGACAACAAGAAGCAACCACGCAACACACCCUCUCAAAAAGCGAGGGCGGUGGCCGGAGCCACCUAUGUUUGAGUCAGUUUGUAUGGCACCGCAAAGAAUUAUCCUUGGGCCCAUGACCGAAACUCAUCUUUGAAGCACAAGUUCCAUAAAAAAUGGUUAAUGUGACAGAGUUGAUCGAUUUAUGCAUAAUGGGGGAGGGAGGGUUCAUUGAGAGAACGGUACUCCCCCUAUGUCCAUGCCCACACCUAAACUAGACAACAAGUUGAGUGAGGUGGGGUGUGCACAGGCUCAAGUCACAUUGCUCGAACCAAUGAUAUUUAGCUCAUGCCUUAACUCGCGAAAUCGUGCUUCAUCAAAGGGCUUCGUGAAAAUAUCUGCAAGGUUAUCAUGAGUGUUGACAUACUUGAGCUUGAUCUCCCCUCGCCUACUGUGAUCCCGGAUGAAGUGAUACCGAAUCUCAAUAUGCUUCGUCUUGAAAUGUUGCACCGGGUUGAGAGAAAUCUUGAUGGCACUUUCAUUGUCACACCAAAGAGGCACUUUGUCACAAAUGACACCAUAUUCCUUUAAAGUUUGCCUCAUCCAUAAGAGUUGUGCACAACAACUACCGGCCGCCACAUAUUCCGCUUCGGUGGACGAGAGAGACAAACAACUUUGCUUCUUGGAAGACCAACUCACCAAAGAGCAACCAAGAAAUUGGCACCCUCCAGAAGUGGACUUCCUAUCCACCUUGUCUCCCGCCCAAUCGGAAUCCGUAAAUCAUUCAAGCUUGAAGUUAGCUCCUCUUGGGUACCAUAGGCCAAAGUUUGGGGUAUGAGCCAAAUAUCGAAAGAUUCGCUUGACCGCCACAAAGUGGCUUUCCUUUGGUGCGGCUUGAAACGGUGCACACAUUCCCACACUCAACAUGAUAUCUGGUGAUGCACAAAGGUAAAGCAAGGAUCCAAUCAUAGAGUGAUAUACCUUUUGAUUCACCGCUUUACCAUUGGGAUCAAUGUCAAGUUGGCACUUGGUGAGCAUUGGAGUAGAGGCCGGAUUGACAUCACUUAGCUUGAAUCUCUUAAGCAUGUCUUGAGUGUAUUUGGCUUGGUUGAUGAAGGUACCUUCUCUUUUUUGUUUGAUAUCAAAACCAAGGAAGAACUUUAACUCUCCCAUCGAAGACAUCUUGAACUCAGAGGUCAUGAGAGCGGCAAAUUCUUCAUUGAAAGCAUUGUUAGGGGAACCAAAGAUAAUGUCAUCAACAUAUAGUUGGCACACAAACAACUCCCCUUUUACCUUCUUAGUAAAAAUAGUGGGACCGAUUUGCCCAACUUCAAAUCCACGAUCUUGUAACAACUCGGUAAGGUGGUCAUACCACGCACAUGGGGCUUGUUUAAGGCCAUAGAGUGCCUUAUCGAGUUGAUACACAUGAUCCGGGAAGUAAGGAUCCUCGAACCCGGGGGGUUGCUUGACAUAAACCAACUCAUUAAUAGGACCAUUAAGAAAAGCACUUUUCACAUCCAUUUGUUGUAACUUAAAGUUGUGAUGGGAAUCAUAAGCAAUCAACAAACAAAUGGAUUCAAGGCGAGCAACAGGAGCAAAGGUUUCACCGUAGUCGAUACCGUCGACUUGGGAGUAGCCUUGUGCUACCAAUCUUGCCUUGUUGCGAAUGAUGUUCCCAUGAGCGUCUUGCUUGUUCUUGAAAAUCCACUUGGUUCCAAUGACAUUAUGGUUCCCCGACGGCCGUGGCACCAAUCUCCACACCUUGUUGUACUCGAAGUUGUUAAGUUCUUCAUGCAUGGCAUUGAGCCAAUCUGAAUCUUCGAGCGUCUCAUAGACCUUUUGGGGUUCAACACAAGAGACAAACGCGUGAUGUUCACAAUAGUUUGCUAAUUGUCUACGAGUGCUUACCCCCUUUCUUAGGCUUCCAACCACAUUCUCCAUAAGAUGGCCUUUGGUGGUGAGCUUGGAAGCAAUCUUUGCGGCACAACGCUCUAGUUCCUCCUCGGAUGUGGAGGAAGGAGGAUCAACUUGAUUAUCUUGAGCGCCGUCUUGAGCUUGUUCGAGAUCUUGAUCUUGCUCUUGAUCUUGAACUUGCUCAAGGGGGAAAACUUGACCUUGGGCAUCAUUUGGUGGAUCACCACCAUCUUGAGUUUGAUCUUGCCCUUGGUCUUGUUUAUGAGGUUGCGAGCCUUCACUUUGUUGUUCGGAAGCAUGUGGGUCUUGGGGAGGUGAUGGCUCCACUUGAGUGGAGCAUUGUCCUUCUCCUUCGGCCACAAGGGGUUCCUCAAUGGGUAGAAUAUGACCAAUACCCAUUCUUCUUAUGGCUUGGGGAGGAAUUUCAUCACCUACAUCACAAGUACCACUUUGCUCCACUUGGGAGCCGUUAUUUUCGUCAAACUCCACGUUACACGUCGCCUCAAUGAGUCCGGUGGACUUGUUGAGAACACGGUAAGCAUGAGAGUUUGUAGCAUAACCAACAAAUAUGCCCUCAUAAGCUCUAGCCUCAAAUUUAUACAAACGGACACCCUUUUUGAGAAUGAAACACUUACACCCGAACACCCGGAAGUACUUGAGAUUGGGCUUGUUACCGGCGAGGAUUUCAUAAGGAGUCUUGUUCAAGCCUUUGCGGAGAUAGAGCCGAUUUGAUGCAUGACACGCGGUGUUGAUGGCUUCGGCCCAAAAGUUGUAUGGAGACUUGAACUCCGCCAUCAUGGUCCUUGCCGCAUCCAUCAACUUCCGGUUCUUCCUCUCCGCAACACCAUUUUGUUGAGGGGUGUAUGGAGCUGAAUAUUGAUGCUUGAUCCCCUCAUCACUAAGGAGCUCGUCCAAGGUGUAGUUCUUGAACUCGGUGCCGUUGUCACUUCUUAUUGUCAAGAUCUUUGCAUCAUGUUGUCAUUGAGCUUCAUUUGCAAAGUCGAUGACGGUUUGUUGGGUUUCACUCUUCCUCUUGAAGAAAUAUACCCAAGUAUAUCUUGAAUAAUCAUCCACAAUCACCAAGCAAUACUUUAUUCCCCCAAGACUAUCAAAGGAUGGAGGCACAAAGAGGUCCAUGUGAAGGAGCUCCAAGGGUCUCUUCGAGUAGAUGAUAGUCGUGGGAGGGUGAGCCGUCUCAUGAAGCUUUCCUUCGAUACAAGCACUGCAAGCAUGAUCUUUGGCAAAACUAACAUUUUUUAGUCCACGGACAUGGUCCCCCUUGAGAAGACUUUGCAAAGAUCUCAUAUUGACGUGGGCUAAACGGAAAUGCCAAAGCCAUCCCACAUCAACUUUAGCCAUUAGGCAUGUCGCGGUCUUAGUGGGUCGCUCCGAAAAGUUAAUCACAUAGAGACCGUUCUCGACAUGCCCAACAAAGGCUACUUUAAGAGUCUUGCUCCACAAUAGGGCCACGGUAUCAACAUCAAAGAAGGUGGCAAAGCCCAUGAGUGCGAGUUGACGAACGGAAAGUAAAUUGUAUGCAAGGGACUCAACAAGCAUGACUUUCUUGAUCGUUAGAUCAUGAGAAAUGACAACCUUGCCAAGACCCAAUACCUUAGAAUGUGAGGCAUCACCCCACUCGACAUUUUUGGGCAUAGAUGGGAUCUUUUGCACGUCCACCACCAAGUCCUUGCUCCUGGUCAUAUGAUUUGUUGCUCCACUAUCGAGCAACCAUGAUCCCCCACCAGAAGCAAACACCUACAAGAGAUCAAUGCUUGGUUUAAGGUACCCAUUGAGUAAUGGGUCCUUUGAUGUUAGUAACAAGGGUCUUAGGAACCCAAAUAUACCAUUCAAUGUACUCAUAAGAAGAACCAACAAAUUUAGCAUAAACAUGCCCAUCACUAGCACGGCACAACACAUAAGAAGGGUUAAAGUCGCCGACUUUGUUGGGAGAGGUGACUUUGCCCUUUUUGGCAUCACCACUCUUUGCAGUGUUCUUCUUCUCCUUAGGAGUACCCUCUCCCUCCUUCACAAAAGUUUUCUUAAGCGGGGGAGGUCGUUUGAUCUUGUCAUUCUUCUUCUGGUUCUUCUUCUUGUUCUUGGACUUGGGUGAGAACCCACCUCCCUCCUUUGCCACAACUUCAUUUUGAUUGCUCAAAAGGUCAUUUAGGUUCUUCUCACCUUGUAUGCAUGACACAAGGACUCUCUCGAGUUGUUCCUUCAACUUGGCAUUCUCCUCCACAAGAUGCACAUGCUCACAACACGGGUCAGUAGCAUUUGCGUUAUCAAUUAAGAUUAAGUGAGGAAAGGUGGCCUUCUCCUUGGUUAGCUUAACUUGGAGUUGAGCAUGAGACUUCUUGAGGUUAGUAUGAGCACCCUUCAAGACCUUGUGGGCCUUGUCAAGCACAUCAAACUCCUCCUUGACUCUAGCAUGAUCAACCCCAAGUUUAGCCUUCUUGGAAGUCAGCACACGAGACACAACAAGAGCAUGAUCGAGAUCUUCCUUUAACUUGGCAUGGUCAUCGUUUUGUGACUCCUCAAGAGCCAAACGAUGCCCACACUCUUCCUCAAGAGCAUUAGAGAGAUCCGAUAUCUCAUCGACAUAGUCAUGACUAUGACCUUCCAUCUUAGAGAUGGUUUCUUUGUGAGCCUCGAUCAUGUCAUUGGCUUCACCAAGUUGUUCCAAGAGAGCAACAAAGUGCUUCUUGGAUUUGCCCUUGAGCUUACUCAUAAAGGACUCAAAAUCAUUUACCUCCUCAUUAGACCCCUAACCAUCAUCAAUCCCAACCGUCAAACAAGGAUUAGGAAUAAUGGUGGUUUUGAUGUUGGGGGUUACCUUGUUGGUGGCUUUAGCCAUGAGGCACUUGGCGGUGAUGUUCUCGUUGGGUGAAUCGAAGAGAGACACCCGGGAGUUGUGGCAAUGGCAACGGAUGCCAUGGCCAUUGAUUCACUAUCUUCAUCAUCAUCGUCAUCCUCACGGUACUCCUCUUGAACCACCAACCCUUGAGUAGGAGUCUUCUUGGUGAAGUUGUUCUUGUUGGGGAAAGACUUGGCUUUGUCUCUCCGGAUGAGCUUGCCACCAUUGUCUUCCCGCUUCUCGUAAGGACAAUCCGCAACAAAAUGGCUCACAUUGCCACAGUUGAAACAAGUUCUAACUCGUUGCUUGCUCUUGAAGCCACUUGAGUUGUUCUUGUUGAAAUUGGGUCUUGAGUUCUUCUUGCUCCAAAAUUGCCUUGAAGCGAGAGCCAUGUGCUCGUGAUAAUCAUAUUUUGUAUCUUCGGUAUUGCUCUCCUCAUCUUCCUCUUCUUCCUCUUCUUCCACAAUAACCUUGGCCUUCAAGGCAAGGUUGGGCUUCUUUGCUCCUUGAGACCGGAGCACCGCAUUAUCGGCGGUCUUGUCCAAGAUGCUCAUUGCAACGAACUCAUCCAACACUUAACUUGAGGUCAUGGAGUGGAAGUCCGGCCUUUGACGAAUGACGGAGGACAUGGACUUGUUGUAGGGCAUCAUGGCCUUGAGAAACUUGCGUUUGAUCCAAUUGUCAUACGUGUCCUUGCUCCCAUGAUCUCGGAGCGAGACCGCAAGUUUGGUUACUCUCCGAAAGAGCUCACGAGGUUCUUCAUCUUCCUUCAUAGCAAACUCAUCGGCUUCAUCUUGCACUACUUCAUAGUUGGAGCAUUGAAUGCUCGCGCUUCCCCAAUAAAGAGACACAACGCACCGCCUCGCGUCUUUGGCCGUGGAGUAGGGUCGAAGAUGAGGGAGAUCUUUGGGGAGAAUUGCUUCUUGGUUGAUGAAGAGAGCAUUCUCAUUGAAUUGAUUAUCCACGGCUUCUUGAGGGGUGAAGUUGCUUGGGUCAUGUGGAUAGAAACCUUCUUCAAUGAUUCUCCAAAGAUUAGUAUUCACAUGCUUUAAAUGACGCUUGAAGCGAUACACCCAAGAAUCAAAAUCCUCAUUUUUCACAAUCUUAGGAGGAGGACCGACAUGAUUUAAAUGAGUAGACGGAAUCGGUCCACCAUAAGUUGGAGGUUCCACAUGGGCAAAGAUGCCGGAACCAUUUUUACCGCUUGUAGAAGGACCCUUUUCACUGUUAGCUUCCCCUUGUCGGAGGUAGCAUCCGUCACCUUGUUAGCGGGAUCACCCACUUUCAUCAGCGAGGUGGACAAUUUAAGUCCUUCUAAAAAUUUAGUAAACAUGCUUUCAACCUUGGUCCUCAUGGAGUCUUUCAAUGUGUCUAGAGCCACAUUGAAUUCCUCACGAGAGACCGAGGUUCCCCCAUCGGCCAUAGACGAGGUAGGAUUCACGCCGGAGUGCUCUUCCACAACGUCUAUGGCGUCAACCAUACUCUUCGGACGGCAAAGUCCUUAAUAAAGAGACGAAGCUCUGAUACCAAUUGAAAGGAUCAAUAUAGUUGACUAGAGGGAGGGGUGAAUAGGCAACUAACAAUUUUUAAGCUUUUCUUUACCAAUUUAAACUUUGCAUCAAAAUAGGUUGUCUAGAUAUGCAACUAUGUGAGCAACCUAUAUGAUGCAAUAACAACUAGCACAUAAGCAUGCAAUGGAUACAACACAAGUAAGCUUGCAAAAGUAAAGGCACGAAAUAACCAAGAGUGGAGCCAGUGGAGACGAGGAUGUGUUACCGAAGUUCUUUCCUUUUAAGGGGAAGUACGUCUCCGUUAGAGCGGUGUGGAGGCACAAUGCUCCCCAAGAAGCCACUAGGGCCACCGUAAUCUCCUCACGCCCUCACACAAUGCGAAAUGCCGUGAUUCCACUAUUGGUGCCCUUGAAGGCGGCGACCGAACCUUUAUAAACAAGGUUGGGGCAAUCUCCACAACUUAAUUGGAGGCUCCCAACGACAACACGAAGCUUCACCACAAUGGACUAUGGCUCCGAGGUGACCUCAACAGUCUAGGGUGCACAAACACCCAAGAGUAACAAGAUCCGUUAGGGAUUAGUGGGGGGAAUUGAAUAUCUCUUGGUGGAAGUGUAGAUCGGGGCCUUGUCACCCAAUCCCGAGCAAAUCAACAAGUUUGAUUGGCUAGGGAGAGAGAUCGGCCGAAAAUGGAGCUUGGAGCAACAAUGGAGCUUAGGGAUGGAAGAGGUGGUCAACUAGAGGUAGGAGACACACAUUUUAUAGUGGAGGACAACAUCCAACCGUUAUCCACUUAGACCAGCCUGCGACAUGCGGUACUACUGCUCCAGGAGCGCGGUACUACCGCAAGGCCACAUGGUACUACCGUGGGAGACCACGGUACUACCGCGGCAGCUGCAGAGACUAUAACACAAGCAGUAUUACCGCGAGCGUGAUACUACGCUCCCACCUGCGGUACUACCGCGAGGCAGGUAAGUCCUAGUCUGGAAAUGGCACGGAUGAAUAAAAAUACAUCCGUGCCUACUUCCGUGGUCAAAGAGACGAUGCAAACAUCCGUCACGGUACUACCGUGCACAAGGCACGGUACUACCGUGUGUGUGCGGAUGUAAAAAAUUACAUCCGCCCCUACUACCGUGAAGCAACGGCACUAGGCCACGGAACCACGGUACUACAGCUCGGGGGGAGCGAUACUACCGUGGGCACCCGCGGUACUACCGCCCUCAACGUGCGGUACUACCGUGUGGGCGCGGAUGUAAAAAAUUACAUCCGCGCCUACUACCGCGAGGCAGAGGUACUUGGCCAGGGAGCCACGGUACUACGACUCCGAAGGAGCGGUACUACCGUGGGCUCCCACGGUACUACCGCGCAUGGGCACGGUACUACAACAAGUGCCUGCGGUACUACCGCUCCAGGGAGCAGUACUACCGUAAGCUCAGCAACAGUAGUCCGGACACUCACAUAGAGGAUAUACGGGGAAUGCUCCAAAGUGCAAGGGAAAGGAGGAGACAAGGAAGGAAACGUGUACAUGAUGAUUCCACCCGAACCUUUCCGACGCGGACCCCCUCUUAAUAGUACGGCUCUCCUACGACUCAAAUCCACCAAAAAGAAACGUAGAAAAACACCAUCUUCAAUAGUCUUCGAGGGGCACCAAACUGUCUUGUGCCCAGCGAUGAAGCAACUGAGAAACUCAAGGCACACGAUUAGUCUGCUAAAGCAUUGUCAUCAAUCACCAAAACACUUAGGGAUAAAAAUGCCCUUAUAGGAGGAACUCGAAAACGCUUUCAGGGCCAAUUUUCAAGGGACUUAUGUCUGGCCUCCGGAUGCAGACGAUCUAAGUCACAUAAUCCAACAGCCCGGAGAGUCCGCCCGCAAGCUUUGGAACAGAUUCCUCACUAAGAAGAAUCAAAUUGUCGACUGUCCGGACGCUGAAGCCUUAGCGGCUUUCAAACACAGCAUCCGUGACGAAUGGCUCGCCGGCACCUCGUCCAAGAAAAGCCUGCCUUUACGGGCCAACCAGCUAUCCUCACCCGCGUAAAAGCGGGUUAUAAGGCUUGUUAAGGCUGCCAUUGUCCUGAUUCAGGGGCUCUCGACCUGGUCAGCAAAAGAAGCCAUUGAAAGGCAGUAAAGACGGAUCGUCCGGUCUGAACAGAGUCUUGGACAGACUAUGCCAAAUUCAUGGCACCCCGGAGAAACCUGCAAACCACACCCAUAGAGAGUGCUGGGUUUUCAAGCAGGCCGGCAAAUUAAAUGCCGAACACAAGAGGAGGGACACACCAAACGAAGAAGAGGAUGAACCCCACCAGCCGAACACCGGGGUACAGAAAAAAUUCCCGCUAGAGGUUAAAACAGUCAACAUGAUCCAUGCGACUCGCACAUCCACGAGAGGGCAUAAAACACUCGCCCAUAGAAGCACACGAUGUAGAGCCCGUCGUACCCACGUCUCACUACUGGAUGUCUCGUCCGAUCACAUUCGAUCACACGGAUGACCGAACUAGUAUUCGGCACGGAGGAUCACAGGCCUUGGUGCUUGACCCACUAAUCGAUGGAUACCGUCUCACCCGCGUCCUCAUGGACAGCGGCAGUGGUCCCAAUUGAAUAUACGAGGAUACUGUCCGCAGAAAGGGGAUAGACCCAUCCAGAAUUAAACAAAGCAACAUCACCUUUGAAGGGGUGAUACCAGGCGUUGCAGCCUGCGCCAGGGGCUCCGUCGUGCUAGAAGUAACAUUCGGCUCCCCAGGCAACUCCAGAAGCGAAGAGAUGCUCUUCAAUAUCGCACCCUUCCAAAGCAGCUAUCACGCAUUGCUAGGAAGAACGACCUUCGCCUGCUUCAACGCACUGCCACACUAUGGCCACCUUACACUCAAGAUGCCCGGUCCCCGUGGCGUCAUCACUGUUAGCAGAAUCAUAAAGCGCCAUUCAUGCGCAGAGGAAUAUGCGACGGCCCUGGCGGCCGGACUAUAAGCGGCCUCCAGUUUUUAGAAAACAUGAUUGGUCAUUAUGACCACAGACACGGUUAGACGAGUCCGUUAGCCCGGAUAAAUUCAAACAGGGCACUGUAUAUAUAAUCCCGUAAGGGAAACCAGGCGCUGUUUAUAUUUAAUACAGCCCCACGCUUGGCUCGACCUUAUUGGCAGGCCAAUAGUUUACACUCUUAUUAUUAAUCGCAUACUUACGAUGCAGCCUCCUGUGAGUUUUUCUUUUUUACAGACAACGUUCGCGCGAUACCCUUCCAGGAUACGGCACAAUAGAGACAAAGGCGCAGACGUGCAACAGGGCCUUGUGCAACAGGUUUCUUUUUAGAUUAAGCCCCUGUGUAAUCCUUUUCUACUGCCUCUUGUUGUUUAACCAUCCCAUGGGUUCUCUACCCACAGAGGAUACUGCCAUUUUUGGCAUUUGGCCACGGCAGACUAAAAUGCACGUACCUAGAAAUAAAGGGCUUAAAAUAGGCUCUUGUCAGCCUAUCUUCUUUUACAAAAUACCGAAUACCCUCGGGAGUGUUCAGCGUCACGAGUUUGACCAUAUAUGCAUCAGCUCCGAAUCAUGUCUUAGGUCAAAAUGUUGGGUUUGCCCGGCUCCUGGGUAGGCCGCCUUAUGUUUCGCUAUCAUCCGGCUAAGGCAGGCCAAAGGAGAACUACUGCGAUUGUGCCCUGGUUAUUCCGGAUGAGCGCCUCAGUAGAGAAAGCCGAAAACUGACCGUCAUGAUGCAGCGAGAGACUGUUCAACCACUCGAAGACUCACCGGAAUCCCUAAAGAUUCCUUCGCCUUAACGAAGGGCCGUUUUUCGGCCAUGUACACAUGCGCCCAUAUUUGGAUGCACGUAGAGGUACCAGGGGCUACAUAGUCCCCACCAUUAGACUCCCAUGGCUAAGCGAAAGUGUUACAGCUAUAUAGUCUGAUUGCCUAGUUCAGCGUGCGAUCACCUCCUUAACGGACCAAGACGUUGGAUCAAGUGUGCUUAUGCAUAUUUUUUCGCCAACACCCCCGCAUUAUCCGCGAGGGGGCUGAAGCCAACGACUGCUAUCUUUCAGACUACUUAUACAUAUAAGAAUAGCCGCAAAGGGAGGACAAUCAUACUUCCGGGCAAAAGUAUAAACAUAGCCUCAUAAUUAAACUAAACAUUGUUUUCUACAAUGAUUCGACUUAUCACUCGAAUAAAACACUCUUCGAGCACUGCGCCUCUAUCAGGCGGGCACCUUCUGUGACUUGCGCCAAGUAGUGCUCGGCCGGAUGUUGGCCUCCCGACGGAUCCUGGCUUGCUAUUACAGUGGCCUCCAUAUCCGUCCAGUAGGCUUUAACGCGGGCUAGAGCCAUCCGCGCACCUUCUAUGCACGCCGACCUUCUCAGGGCGUCAAUCCAGGACACCGCUCCAAGGAAUUGUUGCACUAAACCAAAGUAGCUGUCCGGCUUAGGCCCCUUCGGCCAAAGAUGGUCUAUUACAGACCGCAUUGCCAGUCCGGACAGCCUGUGGAUCUCCGCCAUAGCAGCCACCUUCUCAUUCAGUGGCAGCUGGCGAGUAGGAGCAUUAAACUGCGACCAGAAAAGCUUCUCCACUUCUUCAUCGCCUUGACCCUCGAAGAACUUGGCAGCGUCAGCUGUACUAUUCACCAAAUCCGCAUAUGCGUCCGCAGGACUCAUGCGACCCGCCAGGGGAGCAUACUUCGGAUCCAAGAACUUCGUCCGCAACAAGUACGAGCCCCCAGCCACGAUUUUGUCAGUUUGUUGGAGCUCCUCCCACAUACUCCGGAUCUCGGUCCGCAUCUCCUUGGCGGCAUUACUUGCCUUGUCCAGCUCGGCCGAACUAGCCUUAUUCUCCUUUUCAAGGAGUGCGUACCGGUCGGCGGCAUUUUUUAACUCUUCAGCCAUUUCGUCUAUCUUUUCCUCUCUUCGGCGAUGAGCAGCCUAUUCGGCUCUCAACUCUUCGACCGCCUUUAGGGCAGCCGCAUUGCUAGCCCGAGCUUGUUCCUUGGCUUGAGCAAGUUCCACCCUCAGGGCCUUCACGGCAGCAGCACCAUCUGCAGUGCACACGUAUUGCAUUAAUAUUAUGCCUUUUGGCAUCUUCGUAUACAUUAUAAUAAAAACCAAGCACAUACCCUGGGACUCCUCUAGCCGUUUAUUCACCAGCGUUAUAUCGGCAUCGAUUGAUCCGAUUUGCCUCCUUAGCUCGACAACUUCAACAGACUGGUCGGCUGCCGGAUCCUUGUAUACCUGCGCACAUGUACGACGCAACCAUUAGUAUAUGAUCCACCGUUUGCCGCUUAUGGCGGGCAACCAGAGUCUCAGGGGCUACUAUCUAUAGGGAGCACACCUAGCGCGUGCUUCAUAACCAAAAAGUUGUGCAUUUUUUCACUACAUACCUCAAAGCCUUUGAGUAGGCUUGUAAAUGCCUCAUUCAAGCCGCCGGUAGCGGAUGAAAUCUUCGUGAGCACCGUGCUCAUUAAAGAGUGGUGCUCCUCCGAGAGUGCGGCUCACUCUAGACGGCCCGUCAGUACGUCCGGCCGGACAUUAAAUUGCGCCGGACCCUUCUCCUCACCCCCCGUGGGAGCCAAACGCUCCGGGCUUAGGGCAGCUGACGUACUAGCCUCCGGCUUUGGCAGAUCCAGACUCCUCCGUGACGACACCUCCGUGUCGCCCGCUUCAUGAGGCGGAGAGCUGGGUGGAGUCUCGCUCUCCAUCAUCUCCGGACGAAGGUCCCCCGAAGACGAACUCUGUUGAGAAGAGCUACUCGCCGGACAACAAAAGGCGAAGUCCUGGUUAUGGAUCUCGGAGUAACGCUACACCUUCGAAUUGAUGAAUAACUUACGGCUCGGUCGAGGGCUGGCCCGUUGGUGGGCAUGACGUGGUGAGGGCGCCCGUCGCGGCAGAACCCCUUGGAGAUGUUUUCUUCCCUUGCUUGGGCGUCUCCGCCUCCAAAUCUUCGGAGGCGGCCCUUUUCCUCCCGCGUGGGGAGGAGGCUUUGACCUCCCCUUCCCGGCUAUCCUCCAUAGGAGGGGUAGCGACUUCCCCGGUCUGGAUGUGCAGCGCGUGAAGUUCAACUUCACUGCCCUUCCCUUCGCCUUUCCCUGUAGGAAUUUUGCUGAGCGCCCGAUCCAGCAUCUUUGCAAUGGUUGGACCAGGCGGGCCUUCAGGAAGUGGCGCCGGACACCUGAUUCUCUUCGCCUUGGCGAGCCAUUCCUGGCCGCGGAGGGAUUGUCAGAAUAACAGUUAUGAUAAAUAUAAAUGAAGUGUCCGGCUUUAAGGUUACUUACUUGGGCAUCUAGGCGAUUGCAGCUUAGGCCCGCAUCCUCGGUGGUGUCCGGACACUUUACUUGUGGUCCAAAGAAUAAUUUACAGAUCCCUUCGAGCUUCAGGCCGAAGAAGUGCUUAAUAGUCCACGGACCCUCCGGAUUAAACUCCCACAUCCGGAGAGGUCGACAUUUGCACGGCAACAUCCGCCGGACUAUCAUCACCUGCAUUAUGCUGACAACAUUUAUGUCCCUCUCAAUAAGCUCCCGGAUACGAUUCUGCAGUUCUGGCACAUCGCCAGCAGGCCCAUAAUUCCGUCCUUCGUCGGUCCAAGACGCUAACUGUGACGGAGGGCCCGAGCGGAACUCGGGGGCAGCUACCCACUUUGUGCCUCUGGGAGCAGUGACAUAGAACCAUCUCCGUUGCCAUACAUCAGACACUUCCGGAAAAGAACCCUCUGGCCAUGGGGCAUCGGCAUUCCUGCUUCUUAUGGCGCCUCCGCACUCCGCAUGUCACCCCUCGAUCAUCUUCGACUUCACAUUGAAGGUCUUUAGCCAUAAGCCGAAGUGUGGGUUGACGUGGAGAAAAGCUUCGCACACAAUAAUGAAAGACGAGAUAUGGAGGAUGGCGUCUGGAGCCAGAUCAUGGAAAUCCAAGCCAUAGUAGAACAUGAGCCCCCUCACAAAGGGGUCGACGGUGAGGCCUAUGCCUCGGAGGAAGUGAGGAGUAAACACGAUGCUCUCAUUGGGCUCCGGCAUGGGGAUGACUUGCCCCGGAGCAUGAAGCCUAUGCUGGAUAUCAGCAGUCAGGUAUCCGACCUCCCUAAGCUUCGCAAUAUCCUCCUCCUGAAUCGAGAAGGCCACCCACCGGCCAGCUGCGUCGGAUCCGGACAUACUGGAGGAUCUGGGGGGCUGGAGCUUAGGUUUUUUGGCGAUGGAGCUCGAGGUAUGAGAAGGAGCGGAGAGGUGGAGAUGAGGCAUAGGCCUCGACCCCUUUAUAAAAGGGAUGAAUACCAAGAGUCCUCAGCGUGGCCGCUUGAGACUUGUCUAAAACACGGAAUUAUACCAACCAUCGCCGUGGGGUCGCAUAUGCCCAUAUUGAUGAAGGAUCCCGUAUUAACAGGGACACGAUCUCUGCUUUGACAGGAUGUGCCGAUAAAACCGGCUCGCAACGCGAGUCGAGGUGGAGCAGGAAGCGCUGGUUCGUGUUGGACCAGGUCAUGAUGCAAGGGCACAAUGUACGAAGAUUGCCAGCAGAACGGAUUUAUGCUAAGGGUAUGUGAAGAUCAUCUUGUAGAUCCGGACACGACCUACGUGUUUGAUAAUCACCUUGGAGUAUUCGGAGGAGGAACCCGCCUUGCAAUGCCGAAGACAAGACUGCACGCCGGACUCAUCAUCAUUGAAGCCUGGUUCAGGGGCUACUGAGGGAGUCCUGGAUAAGGGGGUAUCCGGACAGCCGGACUAUAUUCAUCGUCCGGACUAUAGAAGCGUCAAGACACAAGACUCAAGACUUUGGCUCGUGUCCGGAUGGGGCUCUCCUUUGCGUGGAAGACAAGCUUCGCAAUCCGGAUAUUAUGUUUCCUUCCUUGUAACCAACUCCAUGUAAACCCUAGCUCUCCGGUGUCUAUAUAAACCGGAGAGCAUGGUCCUUAGAAGGCCGAUCACAAUUACAAUCAUACCAUCAUAGGCUAGCUCUUAGGGUUUAGCCUCUACGAUCUCGUGGUAGAUCUACUCUUGUAUUCCACAUAUCUUCAAUAUCAAUCAAGCAGGAAGUAGGGUUUUACCUCCAUCGAGAGCGCCCGAACCUCGGCAAACAUUGUGUCCCUUGCUUCCUGUUACCAUCAGCCUAAGACACACAGAUCGGGACCCCCUACCCGAGAUUCGCCGGUUUUGACACCGACAGCGACCACCGCCACAACUGCAGUUAGAGUUCCAGUGCCACAAUUGCAGCCACAAAAUCCAUCUCAGCAACAACCACAAGAGCAAGUUCCAUUGGUGCAACAACAACAAUUUCUAGGGCAGCAAUAACCAUUUCGACCACAACAACCAUAUCCACAGCCGCAACCAUUUCCUCCACAACUACCAUGUCCGCAGCCGCAACCAUUUCCACCACAACAAUCAUAUCCACAACCACAACCACAGUAUCCGCAACCACAACAAACAAUUUCGCAGCAACAAGCACAACAACAACAAUGACAACAACAACAACAAAUCCUUCAACAAAUUCUACAACAACAACUGAUUCCAUGCAGGGAUGUCGUGUUGCAACAACCCCGAGCUGUCACGGUGCCAAGUCAUCCACAAUGUCGUUCAUGCUAUUAUUCUCCAUCAACAACAACAACAAAAACAACAACAACAACAACAACCGUCGAGCCAGGUCUUCUACCAGCAGCCUCAGCAACAAUAUCCAUCAGGCCAGGGUUCCUUCCAGCCAUCUCAGCAAAACCCACAGGCCCAUGGCUUUGUCCAACCUCAGCAACUGCCACAGUUUGAGGAAAUAAGGAACCUAGCGCUACAGACACUACCAGCAAUGUGCAAUGUCUACAUCCCUCCAUAUUGCUCGACCACCAUUGCGCCAUUUGGCAUCGUGAGUACUAACUGAGAAGAGAAGAACUCUAGUACUAGAUAUAUGAAACACCGUUUUCUUAGACCAUGGUUUGGUCGUUGUAGCGGUGAAGAAUAAAGUGACAUGCACUAUCAUGUAAGAACCCAAACUAGACUAUUUCAAACUUGGAAAUAAAAGACAAACACAGGUCUUGUCUGCAUAUGAUUGUUUGUAUGAGUUCCAUUCAUGUGCCCGUCCACAAGUUCACCCCUAAUUAUAUAUAUUAAGCAUUAAGUAGAUGUUUAUGUGCAUUAAUCUAAAGAUAACAAAAUGAAUCUGAAACUUGAAUUAAAUUGAAGUAUUUUCUUGGACUUUCAAAUUGAGCAUCGAUAGUGAGGUCUAUCCACAUCCUUGGCUUGCCCUUGAUCAAUUUUUUCCAAAGAAGCAUUCAAUUCAUCAGUCAAUUACAUUGAUUUUUGUGGCUUGUACUUCUCCUCAACAUGAGUAUCUUCAUUACGGCUACUCCAAUUCUCCCACAUAACUGAAGCAUUAAUAGCGCUCUUCCUUGCAUCAAGGAAAUAUGGAUCGAAGAUAUAUCUUGACCAUGUUUUUGGGUGCAACCUUGGGAGUUUUAUGCCAAAAUAUUCUCAAGAAGAAUCCAAGAAUAAACUUGCAUGCUGACGUGUGAUAAGGGCAUUAGAAGUAACAUUUCCUCAGCAAGGACACACAUAGGGCACACACAUAACCCCAUCACAUGCCUUUUUAGUUAUGCAUAUGAAGGUAGGAUGUUUUUAAUUACUCUGCACCAAAGUACUCUUAACUUGGAUUGUACGUUAAGCUUUCAUUGCCUUUUCAAUUUUUCUUCCACAUUAGAUGAACUAGAUAGUCCAGCUACCACACGAUACCUUGUGUUCAUCACGGCUCUAUACAACAAUUGAACAGAAGAAAUGUCAUUUCUUUACCAUACCCAUGACCAAAUGUUCUCUGCUACUCUCUCCGUCCGAAAAUACUGCCAUCCAUGUCGACAACAAUGAGACAUAUAGGACCGCUAUGCCUCUGUCGAAGGAGGUGGUGGAGCGAUCCGGAGAUUAUGCUGCCAUCCAUGUUGAGUAAAAACCUCACUGGCCACUUGCUCCAAUCGCAUACACACCACCAUAAACAACGGUUGGUACUCAGUUCGGUGUAGCAUACACCAUGUAGGAAGCAAGUGCUUACUCCUAGUUACUGAAUUAUGUACACCAAAUAAACCCAUUUACACGUAGUUAAUGACCAAAAAAAGGUGAUGCUUGCUACGCAGAUGUGUAGUACAAAUUAAGAAGUGCAAGAUAAAAAGAUGCUGGUCCUUGAUUCGUUGUUGAUCCUCAGCAUGCCAUCAUCAACUUGUAGUUAAUUAUCAUACAAAUUGGCUCUUUCAUAGAGUUGGAGGCUAGCUCCUUUGAUCAGCACGCGCUUAAACACAAAGAACACGUAUAUGUAUUCUCUCCGGAGUUCAACUCUUGAUUGGCCAGCAAAAAUGGUCCGACCGGGUAGAGGAAAGGCAUGUUUGCUAGUACGCCUGGAGGAAAUGCCUUUGAUUAGGGCAUCUCCAACGGCGACCGGUAAAUUUUCUCCCACAUUCGUCCACGGACAGGGGAUCAGUCCGUGGAUACGGAUAUAGGAAUCGGCCAUCCAACGCUGUCCGCAUAUAUUUCGAACACUUCUUUAAAAAAAUCGGAUGAAAUUCAUGCAAACACAGUGGAUUCCAUACAAACCGGACAAAAACGUUUACAUUUUGGACAUAUUUUUAACUAAAAACUCUAUAGCCGGCGCUGGCGACGACGAAUAUCCUCCAGCGACAUGGAUACCCUUGAAUAGUCUACUGCCGGCUGCAGCGGAUCUCCAAUGUCGUCCCAUGUCCGGCAGCUGUGAGCCCUAGGUAUAUGCUUCAACGCAAAGAGCAGCUCGCCUCCCUACCACUCAUCGGAGUGGAACAACCAACUGUUGCUUCUGCCAGUGGGGAAGGGUUCCUACGUUACACAGGCCAGAGUUGGUUUUGGGUUGGGAACGGCGGUGGCCUGCCAGAGGGAAAGACACCGGUUGUGUACGCUGGUGUCACCUCGGUAUGGCAUUCAUGGGACCCAAGCGACAGCUUCUCCUCGACGAUGGUGGCGAGCGCAGACGUGUUGGACACCACCUCGUCGAUGUCCAUGCAGCCCACUUCUUUCUCUGUUGGCAGGACGCGGUGCCACACGUUUUGACAUCGAAUGACGCGCUCACAAUCACGGGAGGGGCGGUACGACAUGGCACCAUCAAUGGCAGCCAUGAUGCCCGUGCCACCGUGCUCCCUCUCAGUGCGACCUGGAGCAACUCGCCACUCCUUGGCUCGUGACCGGCGGGCUUGAUGGGCCCCCUAGCCAUUAUUUACGCCAGACAACUCUUUUUCCUUCUCAUCAGAUGCCAUGGAAAAAACUGUUCAAGGAGGAAAAUGAUGAGUGGAGAUGUGAUGCGGUUCUUGCUCGAAAUCUGACAUUGUUUAAAUAGCGAGGGGACACGAGGAGCCAACCGGCGUUCUGUUUAAUGUCAGCCGGCUCACGAACGGACAUGUGACUGGAGUAAUUAUCCUGGCACACGCGCGGGUUUAAUGGUGAAAGGCAGGCAGUCUGGAGGAAUGACGCAUGAUGUGUGUUUAGCCGGCGUGCAGCGGGGCGGUACCCUUGGCGUGCAUGGGGCGGUACUCGGAGGCAUGAAUGCGGGCAAAGGUGUUGUCAGAAGCGGUCGUAGGUGUUGUCUGGACGCGUGCAAAGCCCCCCUCCCCCAUGUGUUGUCUCCGGUUUGCGGGAGAAAGUACAUCCAGACUGCCCUGUGGACCGAUACAAGCCCGCAUUGGAUGGCACAACACGUCCGGACCAUGUGGUCCGGAUGGUUGUGGACGGUUUAAUUGAGAGUCUGCGUUGGAGAUGCCUUAGAGUUUAUGAAUCCAUUGAGUUUUUCUAAUCAUUAAAAAACACUUAUAAUAAGUUAUAAGAAAAGACACGUAUAUAUGUUAGUUUCAGACUCCAGCUUUGCUCUUACAUAUGCUUUUUUUCUGAUCCGACAGAUUCCAAUAGAGUGAGCCCAGCGUUGUUUUUCUGGAAACUCGAUACACGUUCUUUCAAGCAAAUCACAUCCAUUCUUUUUAACUCAUUUUUUCUCGUUUUAAUAAUAUAAUAAAUCAUUUGUAUUUUUUAUCUCGAACAGUUGACGUGUAAUUCCUAUUGUAAUCUAAGGAUAAUGUUUGGAUUUUACUUUCAAAUAUUUGAAAUGGCCAUGAUGGAAUCACAUCCAUUUAUUUUAUUACUAUUUGAAUUUGAUCCAAAAGAUAAAUAAUGAGUAGACGUCCUGAAAACUUUUCUGAGAACUUUGGUAAUCAAAAGACAAAAAAUGUUUUAAGAACUGAAGCAAACAACGAAUUUUACUCUCUAUUUUACUAAAGCAAGUGGCUGCUAUUUAGGUCUAGUAAAUAGCAAAUUGACCAACAACCUUUUUUCCAAAUUGGAAGGAAUGCAGUUCUCAGCUCUCACCAUGGUGAUUAUACAAUCUGGAUUUUUGAGCUGUAGCUAGUCAACUUAUGUUAGUGGCAUAUGUACCAUAGUGUUGGUCACUGGGAAUGGACGAAGCCAUGAGUGAAGGAACAGGAAAUGACAGAAGUACGAUUUGUAGAAUUUCAAAACUCAAACUAUCUAGUUUUAUGGAGUGAUAUGAAAUAAGCAAAACCAACUGCUAAUAAAAAUGUAAAAUUAAACGAUAUAUUUAGAAAUGUGAUUGUGAAGUCAUUGUCACAAAAUAUGACCUCACUAAAAAUGAACAUUCAACCUUAUUUUCAGAAGUUUGCAUACAAAUUCCAUGUAAAUUAUGGUAGUGCCCAUAAACAAAUAAACCAUAAUCGUGCUUGAUCUACCAUGAAACUUACUACCUUGUAUAUACUUUUGUCAUGUCCAGAGAUUUCCUGCACCAUGAACAAAAAUGCCACCGCAAUAAUAGUCGUUCUUUUGUGCACCGGGCGUCGAGGUAGCGUUGGCUGGCCAUCUGCAGCUCAUAGGCGCACGAGCACAGCGGUGGCAUGCCCACCACCGCCUCCAUUGCCCGCAAGGACGCCACCUAGCCACCGCCGUAUUUGGAGAAGAAGCAACAAGCAUGUAAGAGUUUGUCCUUGGACGCUCUAUGGAUCGACCUGAUCGAUCACUCGUUUUGUGCAUGCACCACCACACAUGGCUGAACCGAGCAUCCUCCUGGCGGCGCCCAGUGAGACCGUCCUCGCAGUGGCCACGGCUCGAUGGUUCGCCCCCGUGCGCACGGUACGUGCCGCAGCCUGUAGUCAAAUCAGAGCGCGUAGAGCACUAUCGGUGAGAUCGAAGGAGAGGAAUAUCAAAAUGGAAACUUAGCUAUAGGAGGUGAUGGCAAGGGGAGCUGGUGUGCCGGGAGGGAGACUCCAGGAGCUAGGGAGCACGCCGACGCCAUUGCUCAAGGUGCAAGUUUGUUUCAAUCUUCAAUCCUGCUCGCUGUUGAUUCUGGUUACAGUAAAUUUUAGCUAGAUAUGGUGUAACCUAAGUGUUAUGCCUAGUCUUAAUCUAUCUAUCUAUCCAAUCUUCUAUUCGGCGAGGUGGCUGCGCCUGUGGCAGAUGUGGCCGCUGCCAUGGCCGGCGCCAGACCUGGUCGAUCUCCCUCUUCUGUAUUUGAGAAAAAAAAAUCUGCCUCUUCUCUUCUGAUGAGAAGGGGAAGAGAUGGUGAGAGAUGAAGUCGACGGCUUUGGGGAAAGGAUACGGGAGGACGCCGGUAGUGAGGCGGCAUGAGGAAGACAAGGUGGUUGACAGCGGCGACGCGUGAGGGGAGGGCAAGGGAGGUGUAGUGGUGCAUGGAGAGGAGUGGGUGUGCAGCGUGCCCAGUUCACGAGGGAGGAAAGAGGUCGUCAAGGGAGUGAUCCAUGGGAGUUUUUUUCCUUCAGAGCGAGCCUAGUUGGGCUCUCUGCGGCGUCUAGGCCCAAUGCACCACAUGUCUUCAAAUUGGCCACCAGUAGCAGCCCAUAGAACAGACAGGGCCAGUUUGCAAAUUUUAAAAAAUAAGUUUUUUAGUGCCCAUGAAAAACAGAACACAUAUCUUUCCAAACAUAAUGAACUAUAGGUACCACCAAAAAAACCAUAAUGAACUUUAGGUUGUUACAAGAACUCAUGCCAUCCAACAGCCUCCCUCCAACCCUGCCAACAUUGUUGCAGCUGCACUCGCAAGCGUUACCAUAGGUGAUCAUUUGCAUGAUUUCGCGUAAAACAAAAUAAGAUCUACAAACGAAUAGAAGCUACACAUACCUUGGCAUGCACACACAUUGCAAGCCAUACUAAGGUGAUAAGUGUUAAUAACUUGUACAACAUAUACAACACUUAAGAUAAGUAAAAGCAAUUUGAUGAGUCAUGGUCUAUCAAAGCAAGAUGCAUUACUACUCUAAUCUAUCUUAACAGGUGACACAUGAUUACAAUCCUUGUUGUGUGCAAGUCAAGCUUAUCUAGUUUACACGUAACAACUUGUAGAACAUAACACAAUUGAUGUUUGCUAAUAACUUCUAGAAAGCUACAACACUUGACAUGUAAAAAGAAUUUGAUGAGUUAUGACCUACUAAAGCAAGUUACAUUACUAGUCUCAUCUAUCUUAACAGGUCACACAAGAUUAAAAACUAAGUUCUGCGCAAGCAAUGCUUAUCUAGUUUACACAUAACAACUUGCAAAACAUUACAAACUUAGUUUCAAAAAAUUAGGCAAUCUAGAUUAGUGUUUGAGUUGUAAAGUGAAUAAGAUGAGUCAUGUGUGUUAUCACAACUUUUUGGUAGUGGAAUGAUAGUGCCACAUAACACAACAUACCAAAUUAUGAUUUUAGGAAGCAUCCAAGCACUUUCCAGACAAAAAAAUGCCAAUUGUGAAGGAGAUGAUGCCAUGGCAGCUAUAAAUAGGCCUGUAGCAUGAUGAUCAUCCUUUCCCAUCCAUCAUUCUCAUAAGUAGAGUGCAUCGUUCAAGCCAAGCAAGCAGUGGUCAAUACAAAUCCACCAUGAAGACCUUUCUCAUCCUUGCCCUCCUUGCUAUCAUGGCAAUUGAGGGAGUCCUAGAUAAGGGGUAUCCGGACAGCCGGACUAUAUUCAUCGUCCGGACUAUAGAAGCGUCAAGACACAAGACUCAAGACUUCGGCUCUUGUCCGGAUGGGACUCUCAUUUGCGUGGAAGACAAGCUUGGAGAUCCGGAUAUUAUGUUUCCUUCCUUGUAACCGAGUCCAUGUAAACCCUAGCUCUCCGGUGUCUAUAUAAACCGGAGAGCAUGGUCCUUACAAGGCCGACCACAAUUACAAUCAUACCAUCAUAGGCUAGCUCUUAGGGUUUAGCCUCUACGAUCUCGUGGUAGAUCUACUCUUGUAUUCCACAUAUCUUCAAUAUCAAUCAAGCAGGAAGUAGGGUUUUACCUCCAUCGAGAGGGCCCAAACCUGGGUAAACAUUGUGUCCCCUGCUUCCUGUUACCAUCAGCCUAAGACGCACAGAUUGGGACCCCCUACCCGAGAUCCGCCGGUUUUGACACCGACAUUGGUGCUUCCAUUGAGAGUUCCUCUGUCUCGUCGCUUCGAGGCUUGAUGGCGUCUUCAAUCGUCAACAACACGGUCCAGGGUGAGACUUUUCUCCCCGGACAGAUCUUUGUGUUCGGCGGCUUCGCACUGCGGGCCAAUUCACUUGGCCAGUUGGAGCUGAUCGACAGCCUCGCCCCUGGCCACCAGAUCAGGUUUGGAAACUUGAACUACACGACAGAUAUCCGCGGAUACUUGAUCUUCGACGGAUUCGGGCCUGCGCCAGGAGUGCCGGGUAGCCACGACGAGCACGACCUAGACCUGCUGUCGGAUAGUGCCCGGGAUAUUAUCCCCGAAGCAGCCUUGGAUCUAAAUCCAGGACAGGUUGCGGUGCCUAUGGACGGAGGGCUGGACCCCGCUCCGCAGGCCGCACGCUUAUCGGCGGUGGAGCCGAACACUGGUCCCCCCUAUAACCCCGGACUCCCGGACUCAUAUCCAGCUGUUGGUCCUGGUCCGCUCACUCUCGAGCCAGCCGAGCCAGGUCAGGUUCCGGUAAUGGAGUUUACCGCUGCGGACAUCUUUCAGCACUCGCCCAUUGGCGACAUGCUAAGCUCAUUGAAGUCUCUCUCUUGGUCAGGAGACUCUGGGCCGAACUAUGUCCGAUGCGAGUGGGAAGCAGGCGAUGAAGGAAUUCGGCGCCCACCCACCACCCACUUCAUUGUCACAAUCAAAGAAUUAGGCGACGUGCUCGACUCCGGAGACAUCGAUGGUAUGGAUGACGAUGCAGGAGAGGCUCCAGAACCCCUGGAGCGCGGGACUACUACCUUGUCACACGACAUAUACAUGGUAGAUACGCCCAAUAAGGACGGCAACCCGGAUGAUAAAACACCCGGGCAAAAGCCAAAGAGGCGGCGCAGACGCCGCUCAAAGUCCAGCAAUGGCAAAAAUAGUGACAGGAGCGCAAGAAGGGUUGAUAUACCCGCAAACUCUGAAAGCAAUAAUGACCACAUGGACCCAACGAUGGAGCAGGACGAGCCAUGUCACGCCAAAUCAAGUUCGGAGAAAAUACCCGAUCACAACGAUCCGGAGGGACGAGCUCAUGAUGCCGCCCGAGAACAGGAAGACAAUCUGGACAACGAUGCAUUCAUCAUCCCGGACGAACAAGUGGAACGAGACAACCUCCACAGAAAGCUUAUGGUCACCACAAGAAGUCUAGAAAAGCAGAAGCAACGGCUCAAGGCUGCACAGGAAAAGCUAAGUCGCAGAUGGAACAGGGUGCUAGACACCGAAGAAAGAUAUGGCGAUGACCGCCAUACGAAAAGCUAUCCGAAGCGCAAGCUGCUGCCAGAAUUCGAUGACGCGGCCGUUCCGCCAAAAGAAAAUUCGACCAAGAAACCAGACGUACCGCCUCACAACCAUAACAGAGCGGCCGCAGACACUGCGCACGAUCCACGCGGGCAUCCGGAUAAAAAGACCGGUGCAGCCAGGUCCAUAUAUGGAUCUAGAAGACACACCCCAGCGCAGAACUAUGGUCACCCAAACGUUCAUAAAAGCUAGAUACCAGUUCGGAAUCAACCCCGGACACAACAACAGCUGACUACAUGCCACAAUGCGUCCAGAUACAGAGGGGCUGCUCACCACCUGUGCUUCACCGAAGAAGUACUGGACCAUGAAUUCCCACAAGGCUUUAAACCUGUGAACAUAGAAGCAUACGCCGGCACGACAGACCCAGGGGUCUGGAUCGAGGAUUUUAUCCUGCAUAUUCACAUGUCUCAAGGGGAUGACCUCCACGCCAUCAAAUACCAUCCCCUCAACUUGAAGGGACCAGCUAGACACUGGUUGAAAAGCCUCCCCGAAAACUCAAUUGGGAGUUGGGAGGUGAAAGGAUCGAUAUAGUUGACUAGAGGGGGGGGGGUGAAUAGGAAACUAACAAUUUUUAAGCUUUUCUUUACCAAUUUAAACUUUGCAUCAAAAUAGGCUGUCUAGAUAUGCAACUAUGUGAGCAACCUAUAUGAUGCAAUAACAACUAGCACAUAAGAAAGCAAUGGACACAACACAAUUAAGCUUGCAAAAGUAAAGGCACGAAAUAACCAAGAGUGGAGCCGGUGGAGACGAGGAUGUGUUACCGUAGUUCCUUCCUUUUAAGGGGAAGUACGUCUCCGUUAGAGCAGUGUGGAGGCACAAUGCUCCCCAAGAAGCCACUAGGGCCACCGUAAUCUCCUCACGCCCUCACACAAUGCGAGAUGCCGUGAUUCCACUAUUGGUGCCCUUGAAGGCGGCGACCGAACCUUUACAAACAAGGUUUGGGCAAUCUCCACAACUUAAUUGGAGGCUCCCAAUGACAGCACGAAGCUUCACCACAAUGGACUAUGGCUCCGAGGUGACCUCAACCGUCUAGGGUGCUGAAACACCCAAGGGUAACAAGAUCCGCUGGGGAUUAGUGGGGGGAAUCAAAUAUCUCUUGGUGGAAGUGUAGAUCGUGGCCUUGUCACCCAAUCCCAAGCAAAUCAACAAGUUUGAUUGGCUAGGGAGAGAGAUCGGCCGAAAAUGGAGCUUGCAGCAACAAUGGAGCUUAGGGAUGGAAGAGGUGGUCAACUAGAGGUAGGAGACACACCUUUUAUAGUGGAGGACAACAUCCAACCGUUAUCCACUUAGACCAGCCUGCGACAUGCGGUACUACUGCUCCAGGAGCGCGGUACUACCGCAAGGCCACACGGUACUACCGUGGGAGACCACGGUACUACCGCGACAGCUGCAGAGACUAUAACACAAGCAGUACUACCGCGAGCGCGGUACUACCGCUCCCACCUGCGGUACUACCGCGAGGCAGGUAAGUCCUAGUAUGGAAACGGCACGGAUGAAUAAAAAUAGACGAUGCAAACAUCCGUCACGGUACUACCGUGCACAAGGCGCAGUACUACCUUGUGUGUGCAGAUGUAAAAAAUUACAUCCGCCCCUACUACCAUGAAGCAACGACACUAGGCCAGGGAACCACGGUACUACAGUUCGAGGGGAACGGUACUACCGUGGGAACCCACGGUACUACCGCCCUCAACGUGUGGUACUACCGUGUGGGCGCGGAUGUAAAAAAUUACAUCCGCGCCUACUACCGCGAGGCAGUGAUAAUUGGCCAGGGAGCCACGGUACUAUGACUCCGAAGGAGCAGUACUACCGUGGGCUCCCGCGAUACUACCGCACAUGGGCACAGUACUACCGCAAGUGCUUGCGGUACUACCGCUCCAGGGAGCAGUACUACCGCAAACUCAGCAACAGUAGUCCAGACACUCACAUAGAGGAUAGAUGGGGAAUGCUCCAAAGUGCAAGGGAAAGGAGGAGACAAGGAAGGAAACGUGUACGUGAUGAUUCCACCCGAACCUUUUGGACGCGGACCCCCUCUUAAUAGUACGGCUCUCCUACGACUCAAAUCCACCAAAAAGAAAUGUAGAAAUACGCCGUCUUCAAUAGUCUUCGAGGGGCACCGAACCGUCUUAUGCCUAGCGAUGAAGCAACUGAGAAACUCAAGGCACACGAUUAGUCCGCUAAAGCAUUGUCAUCAAUCACCAAAACACUUAGGGAUAAAAAUGCCCUUACAAUAUCCCCCUUUUUGGUGGAUUGAUGACAAUACGGGAUUUUCACAAGGGAAAAAAUAAUGAGCAUAGGCAAAACCCUCCUCUCUAAAAUGUAGACGGGCUCCCCCUAGACGUGUGCAAUCUAGAUGGAUGCUUUGGACUACACAGCACACUAGCUAGGAUUAACACUCCCAUUAUAUUUUAGAGACAAAGCAUGUAAGACUAACAAUCUAAGUAAAUGCAUAAACAAAGGUAGCACAAUAUAACACUAGCUCACUAAGAUAGGUAGAGUGCAUAUGUCUUACACCAUAUGAGGGACACACUAAACCAAAUCAACCGAAAUAACCGAAACGAGGUUCAAAUGAGACACGCAAACACACGAAACACGACACACGACUCACAAAUCCCUACACUCUCUCCCCCUUUGGCAUCGAGACGCCAAAAAGGCAGAGAGGACACCUACACACAAGUGGUGGCUCAAGCAGAGAAAUCAUUCCAACGAUCCUCGUCAGACCCGGCAGCAGGAAUGGUCUCCUCGACGUCCUCCUUAGAAUCAGUCCACUUGUAGCCUUGUUUCUCCAUCCACUCAACCUGUGGAGUAAUGUGAUCCUCAGACCCACCAGACACGUCCUCUCCAUACAGCUUCAGAAUCUUCUUGUCGCGGCGAAGACUCUCCUUGGAUGCCACGUGAGUCCUGUACUACCCCUUAGCUUGUAUGCAGAAAAGAGUCUUCAUCUUGUCCUUCAGCUUCUUGGCCCACAAGGGCAUAGAGGAACUAUGGGAAGACCCAGCAGCACGGUCAGCAGCAACAUCCUCUCCUUCAGCCUCAUCCUCAUCAACAACCCUCUUAGCAGCAGUCGCCUCGGCACGAGUAGUAGUGUUGGCCCAUUUGGACUUGACACGGAGACUGAUGGGAUCAUGCCGAAUCCAGUCAGGAGCAAGGAACUCAUCACCAGGGUACUGCUUCGCCCAAGUCUUGGAGAUCAAUAGAAACAUGUAUGGUCCAUAGAUAGGCACCUUGCGGUUGAACACCGCAAACCGAAGCUCACACCACAUGAUGUGUGAGACAUCAAGUGGCUGAGUCUGAGAUACGCGAGCCUCCUCGCACAGGAGCAUCAUAUCCACCAUAUAGGCAUGAACCUUGUCCUUGUCACCAAUGCGAGGGAACAGAGAGUUGCGGAAGAUGCGAUACAUGAUAUCCAGAAAAGAGUUGAGCAUCCACGUCGACUUGCUAUUGGCAAGCACCUUCUCAACAUAGAACGGCUGAAGCUUGUCCUUGUUCGCAGACUCAGAAUUGGCAUGGGGGCGAACACCCACUGGUGAGUUGAGCCCGUCAUCAGGAACCUGGAGCAGAUCCAUGAACUCCUUCCAGGUAGCAGUCAACUAACGACCAUUGGUCAUCCAGGUCAUCCUCCGCUCCUCCCCAGGGUGAAAGAACACUGAGGCAAAGAACUGACAAAUAAGCUCAGGGUCAUAGUCAAGAUGGAAAUAGAUCACAUGCUCAAUAUCAAACUGCUCCACCAAAUCCAGAGCUUCUCCAAAGUACUCAUGAUACAUAUCCUUCCUCAGGUGAUGCAUGUCUAUCCACUUGACAUCCACAUAGGUAUUUUGCUUGUUCUUGAUGACAUCCAGAUAGGUGAGAGUCUUCUGCUUGUUCCAAAACAACUCACAGCCUCUAACGGUAGCACGAGGAAUCACAUACGGGUUGAGCUGCCUGAGACGGAUGUACUCAGAUUGGGGUAUCUCGUCCAUGCCCUUAGCGGGUUCCUUGUGCUUGCUAGCGGUGGCCUUGACAUGGCGCUUGGGGGCAGAGGAGGAGCCCUCUGGUGCAUCACUUGGAUUGCGCAGACGCUUGGAGCCAGUGUCACGACUGGGAUUGGAACGACGAGAGCCACCACCUGAGACACAAAAUGCAAAACACCCACGACAGGCAAAAAGGAUCAAUGCAAAGACCACGGCAAAGCACAAGAACCACAUAGGAAGUAUACGUGAAAGUUUCCAUGAGAUAGAUGGGAUCCACGGUAGUACUGCCGGAUGCGGUGGUACUAAAAUUUUAGUACCGCUCCAAGUCGCAGUAGUACCGGGGUGGGAGCGGUAGUAAAAUUUUAGUGUCGUAGCGUGCACGGUAGUACCGCGCCUGACGGGCGGUAGUACCAGACAAGCGGUAGUACCGCAUAGGUGGCGCGGUAGUACUGCACCGCGUCAGAUCCAAACCAAAGUUUGAAUCUGAGAAGAACCGCGAAACCACGGCGGUACUACGAUUGAUCAAAUCUAGCACAGGACAAAAAGACAAGUAUAAUCCCUACGCGAUACUACUCUCCUACAACCUACGCUUGCAUAGAUUUAGCCUAAAAUCUCAAGAACACACAAGUCUUCCCCACAAACCUAGAGGCAAAGAAAACAACAAAAGCGAGAGGGAGUUGGGAAAAGACCCUUUCCCAUGGCAAGAGCAUGUGGUGGGGAAUGAUCCCACCGGACGGAAUCGCAGGAGAGCAGCCGGAGGCGGAGAUCCGGCGAAGGACCCUGGCCCCGUUCUUGAGCGAGGGAGAGAGAGACGAAGUGGGAAACUGAUGAAUGGGUAUGGGGGAGUUGGAACUCCCCCUCCCCAUCCUUAUCCCCACGCGUCAAAGAUGUCGCGGUAGUACCGCACAUCAUCACGGUAGUACCGCUUGGGUGGAACUACCGCACCGAAGCGGUAGUACCGCUCUCCCAGGCGGUAGUAAAAAAUUACUGCCGCGUGGGGGCGGUAGUACCGAGCUCUCCAUACGCGUAGUACCGUAGCAUGCUGCGGUAGUACCAUGAGCUCAAGAAAAAGCAGGUUUCAACACAAAAGAGGUCUUUGCAAGGAAACUUUUAGCACAAGAGACACCACAAGAACACGCACAACCCAAAGGCAGAAAGACAACAAGAAGCAACCACGCAACACACCCUCUCAAAAAGAGAGGGCGGUGGCCGGAGCCACCUAUGUUUGAGUCAGUUUGUAUGGCACCGCGAAGAAUUAUCCUUGGGCCCAUAAUCGAAACUCAUCUUUGAAGCACAAGUACCAUAAAAAAUGGUUAAUGUGACAGACUUGAUCGAUUUAUGCAUAAUGGGGGAGGGAGGGUUCAUUGAGAGAACGGUAGUCCCCCUAUGUCCAUGCCCGCACCUAAACUAGACAACAAGUUGAGUGAGAUGGGGUGUGCACGGGCUCAAGUCACAUUGAUCAAACCAAUGAUAUUUAGCUCAUGCCUUAACUCGCGAAAUCGUGCUUCAUCGAAGGGCUUCGUGAAAAUAUCUGCAAGGUUAUCAUGAGUGUUGACAUACUUGAGCUUGAUCUCCCCUCGCCUAAUGUGAUCCCGAAUGAAGUGAUACCGAAUCUCAAUAUGCUUCGUCUUGAAAUGUUGCACCGGGUUGAGAGAAAUCUUGAUGGCACUUUCAUUGUCACACCAAAGAGGCACUUUGUCACAAAUGACACCAUAUUCCUUUAAAGUUUGUCUCAUCCAUAGGAGUUGUGCACAACAACUACCGGCCGCCACAUAUUCCGCUUCGGUGGACGAGAGAGACACACAACUUUGCUUCUUGGAAGACCAACUCACCAAAGAGCAACCAAGAAAUUGGCACCCUCCGGAAGUGGACUUCCUAUCCACCUUGUCUCCCUCCCAAUCGGAAUCCAUAAAUCCUUCAAGCUUGAAGUUAGCUCCUCUUGGGUACCAUAGGCCAAAGUUUGGGGUAUGAGCCAAAUAUCGAAAGAUUCGCUUGACCGCCACAAAGUGGCUUUCCUUUGGUACGGCUUGAAACCAUGCACGCAUUCCCACACUCAACAUGAUAUCUGGUCUAGAUGCACAAAGGUAAAGCAAGGAUCCAAUCAUAGAGUGAUAUACCUUUUGAUCCACCGCUUUACCAUUGGGAUCAAUGUCAAGUUGGCACUUGGUGGGCAUUAGAGUAGAGGCCGGAUUGACAUCACUUAGCUUGAAUCUCUUAAGCAUGUCUUGAGUGUAUUUGGCUUGGUUGAUGAAGGUACCUUCUCUUCUUUGUUUGAUCUCAAAACCAAGGAAGAACUUUAACUCUCCCAUCGAAGACAUCUUGAACUUAGAGGUCAUGAGAGCGGCAAAUUCUUCAUUGAAAGCAUUGUUAGGGGAACCAAAGAUAGUGUCAUCAACAUAUAGUUGGCACACAAACAACUCCCCUUUGACCUUCUUAGUAAAAAGAGUGGGACCGAUUUGCCCAACUUCAAAUCCACGAUCUUGUAACAACUCGGUAAUGUGGUCAUACCACGCACGUGGGGCUUGUUUAAGGCCAUAGAGUGCCUUAUCAAGUUGAUACACAUGAUCCGGGAAGUAAGGAUCCUCGAACCUGGGGGGUUGCUUGAUAUAAACCAACUCAUUAAUAGGACCAUUAAGAAAAGCACUUUUCACAUCCAUUUGUUGUAACUUAAAGUUGUGAUGGGAAGCAUAAGCAAUCAACAAACGAAUGGAUUCAAGGCGAGCAACAGGAGCAAAGGUUUCACCGUAGUCGAUACCGUCGACUUGGGAGUAGCCUUGUGCUACCAAUCUUGCCUUGUUGCGAAUGAUGUUCCCAUGAGCGUCUUGCUUGUUCUUGAAAAUCCACUUGGUUCCAAUGACAUUAUGGUUCCCUGACGGCCGUGGCACCAAUCUCCACACCUUGUUGUACUCGAAGUUGUUAAGUUCUUCAUGCAUGGCAUUGAGCCAAUCUGAAUCUUCGAGCGUCUCAUAGACCUUUUGGGGUUCAACACAAGAGACAAACGCGUGAUGUUCACAAUAGUUUGCUAAUUGUCUACGAGUGCUUACCCCCUUUCUUAGGCUUCCAACCACAUUCUCCAUAAGAUGGCCUUUGGUGGUGAGCUUGGAAGCAAUCUUUGCGGCACGACGCUCUAAUUCCUCCUUGGAUGUGGAGGAAGGAGGAUCAACACAAGAGACAAACGCGUGAUGUUCACAAUAGUUUGCUAAUUGUCUACGAGUGCUUACCCCCUUUCUUAGGCUUCCAACCACAUUCUCCAUAAGAUGGCCUUUGGUGGUGAGCUUGGAAGCAAUCUUUGCGGCACAAUGCUCUAAUUCCUCCUUGGAUGUGGACGAAGGAGGAUCAACUUGAUUAUCUUGAGCGCCGUCUUGAGCUUGUUCGAGAUCUUGAUCUUGCUCUUGAUCUUGAACUUGCUAAGGGGGAAAACUUGACCUUAGGCAUCAUUUGGUGGAUCACCACCAUCUUGAGUUUGAUCUUUCCCUUGGUCUUGUUUAUGAGGUUGCGGGCCUUCACUUUGUUGUUCGGAAGCGUGUGGGUCUUGGGGAGGUGAUGGCUCCACUUGAGUGGAGCAUUGUCCUUCUCCUUCGGCCACAAGGGAUUCCUCAAUGGGUAGAAUAUGACCAAUACCCACUCUUCUUAUGGCUUGGGGAGGAAUUUCAUCACCUACAUCACAAGUACCACUAAGCUCCACUUGGGAGCCGUUAUUUUCGUCAAACUCCACGUUACACGUCUCCUCAAUGAGUCCGGUGGACUUGUUGAGAACACUGUAAGCAUGAGAGUUUGUAGCAUAACCAAAAAAUAUGCCCUCAUAAGCUCUAGCCUCAAAUUUAUACAAACGGACACCCUUUUUGAGAAUAAAACACUUACACCCGAACACCCAGAAGUACUUGAGAUUGGGCUUGUUACCGGUGAGGAUUUCAUAAGGAGUCUUGUUCAAGCCUUUGCGGAGAUAGAGCCGAUUUGAUGCAUGACAUGCGGUGUUGAUGGCUUCGGCCCAAAAGUUGUAUGGAGACUUGAACUCCGCCAUCAUGGUCCUUGCCGCAUCCAUCAACUUCCGGUUCUUCCUCUCUGCAACACCAUUUUGUUGAGGGGUGUAUGGAGAUGAAUAUUGAUGCUUGAUCCCCUCAUCACUAAGGAACUCAUCCAAGGUGUAGUUCUUGAACUCGGUGCCGUUGUCACUUCUUAUUGUCAAGAUCUUUGCAUCAUGUUGUCAUUGAGCUUCAUUUGCAAAGUCGAUGACGGUUUGUUGGGUUUCACUCUUCCUCUUGAAGAAAUAUACCCAAGUAUAUCUUGAAUAAUCAUCCACAAUCACCAAGCAAUACUUUAUUCCCCCAAGACUAUCAAAGGAUGGAGGCCCAAAGAGGUCCAUGUGAAGGAGCUCCAAGGGUCUCUUCGAGUAGAUGAUAGUCGUGGGAGGGUGAGCCGUCUCAUGAAGCUUUCCUUUGAUACAAGCACUGCAAGCACGAUCUUUGGCAAAACUAACAUUUGUUAGUGCACGGACAUGGUCCCCCUUUAGAAGACUUUGCAAAGAUCUCAUAUUGACGUGGGCUAAACGGCAAUGCCAAAGCCAUCCCACAUCAACUUUAGCCAUUAGGCAUGUCGCGGUCUUAGUGGGUCGCUCCGAAAAGUUAAUCACAUAGAGACCGUUCUCGACAUGCCCAACAAAGGCUACUUUAAGAGUCUUGCUCCACAAGAGGGCCACGGUAUCAACAUCAAAGAAGGUGGCAAAGCCCAUGAGUGCGAGUUGACGAACGGAAAGUACAUUGUAUGCAAGGGACUCAACAAGCAUGACUUUCUCGAUCGUUAGAUCAUGAGAAAUGACAACCUUGCCAAGACCCAAUACCUUAGAAUGUGAGGCAUCACCCCACUCGACAUUUGUGGGCAUAGAUGGGAUCUUUUGCACGUCCACAACCAAGUCCUGCUCCCGGUCAUAUGAUUUAUUGCUCCACUAUCGAGCAACCAUGAUCCCCCACCAGAAGCAAACACCUACAAGAGAUCAAUGCUUGGUUUAAUGUACCCAUUGAGUAAUGGGUCCUUUGAUGUUAGUAACAAGGGUCUUAGGAACCCAAAUAGACCAUUCAAUGUACUCAUAAGAAGAACCAACAAAUUUAGCAUAAACAUGCCCAUCACUAGCACGGCACAACACAUAAGAAGAGUUAAAUUCACCGGCUUUGUUGGGAGAGGUGACUUUGCCCUUUUUGGCAUCACCACUCUUCGCAGUGUUCUUCUUCUCCUUAGGAGCACCUUCUCCCUCCUUCACAAAAGUUUGCUUAAGCGGGGGAGGUCGUUUGGUCUUGUCAUUCUUCUUCUCGUUCUUCUUCUUGUUCUUGGACUUGGGUGAGAACCCACCUCCCUCCUUUGCCACAACUUCCUUUUGAUUGCUAAAAAGGUCAUUUAGGUUCUUCUCACCUUGUAUGCAUGACACAAGGCCUCUCUCGAGUUGUUCCUUCAACUUGGCAUUCUCCUCCACAAGAUGCACAUGCUCACAACACGGGUUAGUAGCAUUUGCGUUAUCAAUUAAGAUUAAGUGAGGAAAGGUGGCCUUCUCCUUGGUUAGCUUAACUUGGAGUUGAGCAUGAGACUUCUUGAGGUUAGUAUGAGCACCCUUCAAGACCUUGUGGGCCUUGUCAAGCACAUCAAACUCCUCCUUGAGUCUAGCAUGAUCAACCCCAAGUUUAGACUUCUCGGAAGUCAGCACACGAGACACAACAAGAGCAUGAUCGAGAUCUUUCUUUAACUUGGCAUGGUCAUCGUUUUGUGACUCCUCAAGAGCCAAACGAUGCCCACACUCUUCCUCAAGAGCAUUAGAGAGAUCCGAUAUCUCAUCGGCAUAGUCAUGACUAUGACCUUCCAUCUUAGAGAUGGUUUCUUCGUGAGCCUCGAUCAUGUCAUUGGCUUCACCAAGUUGUUCCAAGAGAGCAACAAAGUGCUUCUUGGAUUUGCCCUUGAGCUUACUCAUAAAGGACUCAAAAUCAUUUACCUCCUCAUUAGACCCCUUACCAUCAUCAAUCCCAACCGUCAAAGAAGGAUUAAGAAUAAUGGUGGUUUUGAUGUUGGGGGUUACCUUGUUGGUGGCUUUAGUCAUGAGGCACUUGGCGGUGAUGUUCUCGUUGGGUGAAUCGAAGAGAGACACCCGGGGAGUUGUGGCAAUUGCAACGGAUGCCAUGGCCAUUGAUUCACUAUCUUCAUCAUCAUCGUCAUCCUCACGGUACUCCUCUUGAACCACCAACCCUUGAGUAGGAGUCUUCUUGGUGAAGUUGUUCUUGUUGGGGAAUGACUUGGCUUUGUCUCUCCGGAUGAGCUUGCCACCAUUGUCUUCCCGCUUCUCGUAAGGACAAUCCGCAACGAAAUGGCUCACAUUGCCACAGUUGAAACAAGUUCUAACUCGUUGUUUGCUCUUGAAGCCACUUGAGUUGUUCUUGUUGAAAUUGGGUCUUGAGUUCUUCUUGCUCCAAAAUUGCCUUGAAGCGAGAGCCAUGUGCUCGUGAUAAUCAUAUUUUGUAUCUUCGGGAUUGCUCUCCUCAUCUUCCUCUUCUUCCUCUUCUUCCACAAUAACCUUGGCCUUCAAGGCAAGGUUGGGCUUCUUUGCUCUUUGAGAUCGGAGCACCGCAUUAUCGGCGGUCCUGUCCAAGAUGCUCAUUGCAACGAACUCAUCCAACACUUAACUUGAGGUCAUGGAGUGGAAGUCCGGCCUUUGACGAAUGACGGAGGACAUGGACUUGUUGUAGGGCAUCAUGGCCUUGAGAAACUUGCGUUUGAUCCAAUUGUCAUACGUGUCCUUGCUCCCAUGAUCUCGGAGCGAGACCACAAGUUUGGUUACUCUCCGAAAGAGCUCACGAGGUUCUUCAUCUUCCUUCAUAGCAAACUCAUUGGCUUCAUCUUGCACUACUUCAUAGUUGGAGCGUUGAAUGCUCAUGCUUCCCCAAUAAAGAGACACAACGCACCGCCACGCGUCUUUGGCCGUGGCGUCGGGUCGAAGAUGAGGGAGAUCUUUGGGGAGAAUUGCUUCUUGGAUGAUGAAGAGAGCAUUCUCAUUGAAUUGAUUAUCCACGGCUUCUCGAGGGGUGAAGUUGCUUGGGUCAUGUGGAUAGAAACCUUCUUCAAUGAUUCUCCAAAGAUUAGUAUUCACAUGCUUUAAAUGACGCUUGAAGCGAUACACCCAAGAAUCAAAAUCCUCAUUUUUCACAAUCUUAGGAGGAGGACCGACAUGAUUUAAAUGAGUAGACGGAAUCGGUCCACCAUAAGUUGGAGGUUCCACAUGGGCAAAGAUGCCGGAGCCAUUUUUACCGCUAGUAGAAGGACCCUUUUCACUGUUAGCUCCCCCCUUGUCGGAGGUAGCAUCCGUCACCUUGUUAGCGGGAUCACCCACUUUCAUUAGUGAGGUGGACAAUUUAAGUCCUUCUAGAAAUUUAGUAAACAUGCUUUCAACCUUGGUCGUCAUGGAGUCUUUCAAUGUGUCUAGAGCCACAUUGAAUUCCUCAUGAGAGACCGAGGUUCCCCCAUCGGCCAUAGACGAGGUAGGAUUCACACCGGAGUGCUCUUCCACAACGUCUGUGGCGUCAACCAUACUCUUCGGACGGCAAAGUCCUUAAUAAAGAGACGAAGCUCUGAUACCAAUUGAAAGGAUCAAUAUAGUUGACUAGAGGGAGGGGUGAAUAGGCAACUAACAAUUUUAAGCUUUUCUUUGCCAAUUUAAACUUUGCAUCAAAAUAGGUUGUCUAGAUAUGCAACUAUGUGGGCAACCUAUAUGAUGCAAUAACAACUAGAACAUAAGCAUGCAAUGGAUACAACACAAGUAAGCUUGCAAAAGUAAAGGCACGAAAUAACCAAGAGUGGAGCCAGUGGAGACGAGGAUGUGUUACCGAAGUUCUUUCCUUUUAAGGGGAAGUACGUCUCCGUUAGAGCGGUGUGGAGGCACAAUGCUCCCCAAGAAGCCACUAGGGCCACCGUAAUCUCCUCACGCCCUCACACAAUGCGAAAUGCCGUGAUUCCACUAUUGGUGCCCUUGAAGGCGGCGACCGAACCUUUAUAAACAAGGUUGGGGCAAUCUCCACAACUUAAUUGGAGGCUCCCAACGACAACACGAAGCUUCACCACAAUGGACUAUGGCUCCAAGGUGACCUCAACCGUCUAGGGUGCUCAAACACCCAAGAGUAACAAGAUCCGUUAGGGAUUAGUGGGGGGAAUCGAAUAUCUCUUGGUGGAAGUGUAGAUCGGGGCCUUGUCACCCAAUCCCGAGCAAAUCAACAAGUUUGAUUGGCUAGGGAGAGAGAUCGGCCGAAAAUGGAGCUUGGAGCAACAAUGGAGCUUAGGGAUGGAAGAGGUGGUCAACUAGAGGUAGGAGACACACAUUUUAUAGUGGAGGACAACAUCCAACCGUUAUCCACUUAGACCAGCCUGCGACAUGCAAUACUACUGCUCCAAGAGCGCGGUACUACCGCAAGGCCCCGCGGUACUACCGUGGGAGACCACGGUACUACCGCGACAGCUUCAGAGACUAUAACACAAGCAGUAUUACCGCGAGCAUGGUACUACCGCUCCCACCUGCGGUACUACCGCGAGGCAGGUAAGUCCUAGUCUGGAAAUGGCACGGAUGAAUAAAAAUACAUCCGUGCCUACUUCCGUGGUCAAAGAGACGAUGCAAACAUCCGUCACGGUACUACCGUGCACAAGGCACGGUACCACCGUGUGUGUGCGGAUGUAAAAAAUUACAUCCGCACCUACUACCGCGAGGCAGCAGUACUUGGCCAGGGAGCCACAGUACUAUGACUCCGAAGGAGCUGUACUACCCUGGGCUCCCACGGUACUACCGCGCAUGGGCACGGUACUACCGCAAGUGCCUGCGGUACUACCGCUCCAGGGAGCAGUACUACCGCAAGCUCAGCAACAGUAGUCCAGACACUCACAUAGAGGAUAUACGGGGAAUGCUAGAAAGUGCAAGGGAAAGGAGGAGACAAGGAAGGAAACGUGUACGUGAUGAUUCCACCCGAACCUUUCCGACGCGGACCCCCUCUUAAUAGUACGGCUCUCCUACGACUCAAAUCCACCAAAAAGAAACGUAGAAAAAUGUCGUCUUCAAUAGUCUUUGAGGGGCACCGAACCGUCUUGUGCCCAGCGAUGAAGCAACUGAGAAACUCAAGGCACACGAUUAGUCCGCUAAAGCAUUGUCAUCAAUCACCAAAACACUUAGGGAUAAAAAUGCCCUUAGAGGAGGAACUCGAAAACGCUUUCAGGGCCAAUUUUCAAGGGACUUAUGUCCGGCCUCCGGAUGCAGACGAUCUAAGUCACAUAGUCCAACAGCCCGGAGAGUCCGCCCGCAAGCUUUGGAACAGAUUCCUCACUAAGAAGAAUCAAAUUGUUGACUGUCCGGACGCCGAAGCCUUAGCGGCUUUCAAACACAGCAUCCGUGAUGAAUGGCUCGCCGGCACCUCAUCCAAGAAAAGCCUGCCUUUACGGGCCAACCAGCUAUCCUCACCCGCGUAAAAGCGGGUCAUAAGGCUUGUUAAGGCUGCCAUUGUCCUGAUUCAGGGGCUCUCGACCUGAUCAGCAAAAUAAGCCAUUGAAAGGCAGUAAAGACGGACCGUCCGGUCUGAACAGAGUCUUGGACAUACUAUGCCAAAUUCAUGGCACCCCGGAGAAACCUGCGAACCACACCCAUAGAGAGUGCUGGGUUUUCAAGCAGGCCGGCAAAUUAAUUGCCGAACACAAGGGGAGGGACACACCAAGUGAAGAAGAGGAUGAACCCCACCAGCCGAACACCGUGGUACAGAAAAAAUUCCCGCCAGAGGUUAAAACAGUCAACAUGAUCCACGCGACUCGCACAUCCACGAGAGGGCAUAAAACGCGCGCCCAUAGAAGCACACGAUGUAGAGCCCGUCGUACCCACGUCUCACUACUGGAUGUCUUGUCCCAUCACAUUCGAUCGCACGGACGACCGAACUAGUAUUCGGCACGGAGGAUCACAGGCCUUGGUGCUUGACCCACUAAUCGACGGAUACUGUCUCACCCGCGUCCUCAUGGACAGCGGCAGUGGUCCCAAUUGAAUAUAUGAGGAUACUGUCCGCAGAAAGGGGAUAGACCCAUCCAGAAUUAAACAAAGCAACAUCACCUUUGAAGGGGUGAUACCAGGCGUUGCAGCCUGCGCCAGGGGCUCCGUCAUGCUGGAAGUAACAUUCGGCUCCCCAGGCAACUCCAGAAGCGAAGAGAUGCUCUUCAAUAUCGCACCCUUCCAAAGCAGCUAUCACGCAUUGCUAGGAAGAACGACCUUCGCCUGCUUCAACGCACUGCCGCACUAUGGCCACCUUACACUCAAGAUGCCCGGUCCCCGUGGCGUCAUCACCGUUAGCAGAAUCAUAAAGCGCCAUUCACGCGCAGAGGAAUAUGCGACGGCCCUGGCGGCCGUACUAUAAGCGGCCUCCAGUUUUUAGAAAACAUGAUUGGUCAUUAUGACCACAGACACGGUUAGACGAGUCCGUUAGCCCGGAUAAAUUCAAACAGGGCACUGUAUAUAUAAUCCCAUAAGGGAAACCAGGCGUUGUUUGUAUUUAAUACAGCCCCACGCUUAGCUCGACCUUAUUGGCAGGCCAAUAGUUUACACUCUUAUUAUUAAUCGCAUACUUACGAUGCAGCCUCCUGUGAGUUUUUCUUUUUUACAGACAACGUUCGCGCGAUACCCUUCCAGGAUACGGCACAAUAGAGACAAAGGCGCAGACGUGCAGCAGGGCCUUGUGCAACAGGUUUCUUUUUAGAUUAAGCCCCUGUGUAAUCCUUUUCUACUGCCUCUUGUUGUUUAACCAUCCCAUGGGUUCUCUACCCACAGAGGAUACUGCCGUUUUUGGCAUUUGGCCACGGCAGACUAAAAUGCACGUACCUAGAAAUAAAGGGCAUAAAAUAGGCUCUUGUCAGCCUAUCUUCUUUUACAAAAGACCGAAUACCCUCGGGAGUGUUCGGCGUCACGAGUUUGACCAUAUAUGCAUCAGCUCCGAAUCAUGUCUUAGGUCAAAAUGUUGGGUUUGCCCGACUCCUGGGUAGGCCGCCUUAUGUUCCGCUAUCAUCCGGCUAAGGCAGGCCAAAGGAGAACUACUACGAUUGUGCCCUGGUUAUUCCGGAUGAGCACCUCAGUAGAGAAAGCCGAAAACUGGCCGUCAUGAUGCAGCGAGAGACUGUUCAACCACUCGAAGACUCACCGGAAUCCCUAAAUAUUCCUUCGCCUUAACGAAGGGCCGUUUUUCGGCCAUGUACACAUGCGCCCAUAUUUGGAUGCACGUAGAGGUACCAGGGGCUACAUAGUCCCCACCCUUAGACUCCCAUGGCUAAGCGAAAGUGUUACAGCUAUAUAGUCCGAAUGCCUAGUUCGGCGUGCGAUCACCUCCUUAAUGGACCAAGACGUUGGAUCAAGUGUGCUUAUGCAUAUUUUUUCGCCAACACCCUCGCAUUGUCCGCGAGGGGGCUGAAGCCAACGACUGCUAUCUUUUAGACUACUUAUACAUAUAAGAAUAGCCGCAAAGGGAGGACAAUCAUACUUCCGGGCAAAAGUAUAAACAUAGCCUCAUAAUUAAACUAAACAUUGUUUUCUACAAUGAUUCGACUUAUCACUCGAAUAAAACACUCUUCGAGCAUUGCACCUCUAUCAGGCGGGCACCUUCUGUGACUUGCACCAAGUAGUGCUCGGCCGGAUGUUGGCCUCCCGCCGGAUCCUGGCUCGCUAUUACCGUGGCCUCCAUAUCCGUCCAGUAGGCUUUAACGUGGGCUAGAGCCAUCCGCGCACCUUCUAUGCAUGCCGACCUUCUCAGGGCGUCAAUCCAGGACACCGCUCCAAGGAAUUGUUGCACUAAACCAAAGUAGCUGUCCGGCUUAGGCCCCUUCGGCCAAAGAUGGUCUAUUACAGACCGCAUUGCCAGUCCGGACAGCCUGUGGAUCUCCGCCAUAGCAGCCACCUUGUCAUUCAGUGGCAGCGGGCGAGUGGGAGCAUUAAACUGCGACCAGAAAAGCUUCUCCACUUCUUCAUCGCCUUGACCCUCGAAGAACUUGGCAGCGUCAGCUGUACUAUUCGCCAAGUCCGCAUAUGCGUCCGCAGGACUCAUGCGACCCGCCAGGGGAGCAAACUUCGGAUCCAAGAACUUCGUCCGCAGCAAGUAUGAGCCCCCAGCCACGAUUUUGUCAGCUUGUUGGAGCUCCUCCCGCAUACUCCGGAUCUCGGUCCACAUCUCCUUGGCGGCAUUAUGUGCCUUGUCCAGCUCGGCCGAACUAGCCUUAUUCUCCUUUUCAAGGAGUGCGUACCGGUCGGCGGCAUUUUUUAACUCUUCAGCCAUUUCAUCUAUCUUUUCCUCUCUUCGGCGACGAGCAGCCUGUUCGGCUCUCAACUCUUCGACCGCCUUUAGGGCAGCCGCAUUGCUAGCCCGAGCUUGUUCCUUGGCUUGAGCAAGUUCCGCCCUCAGGGCCUCCACGGCAGCAGCACCAUCUGCAGUGCACACGUAUUGCAUUAAUAUUAUGCCUUUUGGCAUCUUCCUAUACAUUAUAAUAAAAACCAAGCACAUACCCUGGGACUCCUCCAGCCGUUUAUUCACCAGCAUGAUAUCGGCAUCGAUUGAUCUAAUUUGCCUCCUUAGCUCGGCAACUUCAACAGACUGGUCGGCUGCCGGAUCCUUGUAUACCUGGGCACAUGUACGGCGCAGCCAUUAGUAUAUGAUCCACCGUUUGACGCCUAUGGCGGGCAACCAGAGUCUCAGGGGCGACUAUCUAUAGGGAGCACACCUAGCACGUGUUUCAUAACCAAAAAGUUGUGCAUUUUUUCACUACAUACCUCAAAGCCUUUGAGCAGGCUUGUAAAUGCCUCAUUCAAGCCGCCGGUAGCAGAUGAAAUCUUCGUGAGCACCAUGCUCAUUAAAGAGCGGUGCUCCUCCGAGAGUGCGGCUCGCUCCAGAUGGCCCGUCAGUACGUCCGGCCGGACAUUAAAUUGCGCCGGACCCUUCUCCUCGCCCCCCGUAGGAGCCAAACGCUCCGGGCUCAGGGCGGCUGACGUACUAGCCUCCGGCUUCGGCAGAUCCAGACUCCUCCGUGACGACACCUCCGUGUCGCCCGCUUCAUGAGGCGGAGAGCUGGGUGGAGUCUCGCUCUCCAUCAUCUCCGGACGAAGGUCCCCCAAAGACGAACUCUGUUGAGAAGAGCUACUCGCCGGACUACAAAAGACGAAGUCCUGGUUAUGGAUCUCGGAGUAACACUUCACCUUCGAAUUGAUGAAUAACUUACGGCUCGGUCGAGGGCUGGCCCGUUGGUGGGCAUGACGUGGUGAGGGCGCCCAUCACGGCAGAACCCCUUGGAGAUGUUUUCUUCCCUUGCUUGGGCGUCUCCGCCUCCAAAUCUUCAGAGGCGGCCCUUUUCCUCCCGCGUGGGGAGGAGGCUUUGACCUCCCCUUCCCGGCUAUCCUCCAUAGGACGGGUAGCGACUUCCCCGGUCUGGAUGUGCAGCGCGUGAAGUUCAACUUCACUGCCCUUCCCUUCGCCUUUCCCUGUAGGAAUUUUGCUGAGCGCCCGAUCCAGCAUCUUUGCAAUGGUUGGACCAGGCGGGCCUUCAGGAAGUGGCGCCGGACACCUGAUUCUCUUUGCCUUGGCGAGCCAUUCCUGGCCGCGGAGGGAUUGUCAGAAUAACAGUUAUGAUAAAUAUAAAUGAAGUAUCCGGCUUUAAGGUUACUUACUUGGGCAUCUAGGCGAUUGCAGCUUAGGCCCGCAUCCUCGGUGGUGUCCAGACAAUUUACUUGUGGUCCGGAGAAUAAUUUACAGAUCCCUUCGAGCUUCAGGCCGAAGAAGUGCUUAAUAGUCCAGGACCCUCCGGAUUAAACUCCCACAUCCGGAGAGGUCGACAUUUGCACGGCAACAUCCGCCGGACUAUCAUCACCUGCAUUAUGCUGACAACAUUUAUGUCCCUCUCAAUAAGCUCCCGGAUACGAUUCUGCAGUUCUGGCACAUCGCCAGCAGGCCCAUAAUUCCGUCCUUCGUCGGUCCAAGACGCUAACUGUGACGGAGGGCCCAAGCGGAACUCGGGGGCAGCUACCCACUUUGUGCCUCUGGGAGCAAUGACAUAGAACCAUCUCCGUUGCCAUACAUCGGACACUUCCGGAAAAGAACCCUCUGGCCAUGGGGCAUCGGUGUUCCUGCUUCUUAUGGCGCCUCCGCGCUCCGCAUGUCACCCCUCAAUCAUCUUCGACUUCACAUUGAAGGUCUUUAGCCAUAAGCCGAAGUGUGGGUUGACGUGGAGAAAAGCUUCACACACGAUAAUGAAAGACGAGAUAUGGAGGAUGGCGUCUUGAGCCAGAUCAUGGAAAUCCAAGCCAUAGUAGCACAUGAGCCCCCUCACAAAGGGCCUCGGAGGAAGUGAGGAGUAAACACGACGCUCUCAUUGGGCUCCGGCAUGGGCAUGACUUGCCCCGGAGCAUGAAGCCUAUGCUGGAUAUCAGCAGUCAGGUAUCCGACCUCCCUAAGCUUCGCAAUAUCCUCCUCCUGAAUCGAGGAGGCCACCCACCGGCCAGCUGCGUUGGAUCCGGACAUUCUGGAGGAUCUGGGGGGCUGGAGCUUAGGUUUUUGGGCGAUGGAGCUCGAGGUAUGAGAAGGAGCGGAGAGGUGGAGAUGAGGCGUAGGCCUCGACCCCUUUAUAAAAGGGAUGAAUACCAAGAGUCCUCAGCAUGGCCGCUUGAGACUUGUCUAAAACACGGAAUUAUACCAACCAUCGCCGUGGGGUCGCAUAUGCCCAUAUUGAUGAAGGAUCCCGUAUUAAGAGGGACACGAUCUCUGCUUUGACAGGACGUGCCGAUAAAACCGCCUCGCAACGUGAGUCGAGGUGGAGCACGAAGCGCUGGUUCGUGUUGGACCAGGUCAUGAUGCAAGGGCACAAUGUACGAAGAUUUCCAGCAGAACAGAUUUAUGCUAAGGGUAUGUGAAGAUCAUCUUGCAGAUCCGGACACGACCUACGUGUUCGAUAAUCACCUUGGAGUAUUCGGAGGAGGAACCCUCCUUGCAAUGCCGAAGACAAGACUGCAUGCCGGACUCAUCAUCAUUGAAGCCUGGUUCAGGGGCUACUGAGGGAGUCCUGGAUAAGGGGGUAUCCGGACAGCCGAACUAUAUUCAUCGUCCGGACUAUAGAAGCGUCAAGACACAUGACUCAACACUUCGGCUCGUGUCCGGAUGGGACUCUCCUUUGCGUGGAAGACAAGCUUCGCGAUCCGGAUAUUAUGUUUCCUUCCUUGUAACCGACUCCAUGUAAACCCUAGCUCUCCGGUGUCUAUAUAAACCAGAGAACAUGGUCCUUAGAAGGCCGAUCACAAUUACAAUCAUACCAUCAUAGGCUAGCUCUUAGGGUUUAGCCUCUACGAUCUCGUGGUAGAUCUACUCUUGUAUUCCACAUAUCUUCAAUAUCAAUCAAGCAGGAAGUAGGGUUUUACCUCCAUCGAGAGUGCCCGAACCUGGGUAAACAUUGUGUCCCUUGCUUCCUGUUACCAUCAUCCUAAGAUGCACAGAUCGGGACCCCCUACCCGAGAUUCGCCGGUUUUGACACCGACAGCGACCACCGCCACAACUGCAGUUAGAGUUCCAGUGCCACAAUUGCAACCAGAAAAUCCAUCUCAGCAACAACCACAAGAGCAAGUUCCAUUGGUGCAACAACAACAAUUUCUAGGGCAGCAACAACAACAAUUUCCAGGGCAGCAAUAACCAUUUCGACCACAACAGCCAUAUCCGCAGCCGCAACCAUUUCCUCCACAACUACCAUGUCCGCAACCGCAACCAUUUCCACCACAACAAUCAUAUCCACAACCACAACCACAGUAUCCGCAACCACAACAAACAAUUUCGCAGCAACAAGCACAACAACAACAAUGACAACCACAACAACAAAUCCUUCAACAAAUUCUACAAAAACAACUGAUUCCAUGCAGGGAUGUCGUCUUGCAACAACCCAACAUAGCACAUGCAAGCUCACAAGUAUCACAACAAAGUUACCAUCUGUUGCAACAAUUAUGUUGUUAGCAACUGUGGCAGACCCCCGAGCUGUCACGGUGCCAAGUCAUCCACAAUGUCGUUCAUGCUAUUAUUCUCCAUCAACAACAACAACAAAAACAACAACAACAACAACAACAACAACCGUCGAGCCAGGUCUUCUAGCAGCAACCUCAGCAACAAUAUCCAUCAGCCCAGGGCUCCUUCCAGCCAUCUGAGCAAAACCCACAGGCCGAUGGCUUUGUCCAACCUCAGCAACUGCCGCAGUUUGAGUAAAUAAGGAACCUAGCGCUGCAGACACUACCAGCAAUGUGCAAUGUCUACAUCCCUCCAUAUUGCUCGACCACCAUUGCGCCAUUUGGCAUCGUGAGUACUAAUUGAGAAGAGAAGAACUCUAGUACUAGAUAUAUGAAACACCGUUUUCUUAGACCAUGGUUUGGUCGUUGUAGCGGUGAAGAAUAAAGUGACAUGCACUAUCAUGUAAGAACCCGAACUAGACUAUUUCAAACUUGGAAAUAAAAGACAAACACAGGUCUUGUCUGCAUAUGAUUGUUUGU
This 65883-nucleotide long non-coding RNA is filed under the name Triticum aestivum (bread wheat). RNAcentral's name for it is "long non-coding RNA (TAES_LNC011233)". The record is from RNAcentral. Lineage: Eukaryota; Viridiplantae; Streptophyta; Magnoliopsida; Poales; Poaceae.